UUACUCCUCCCAUCACCACCCCAACCACCCAGCUGCGAGCUCCUUCAUUGCGCCACCGCCGGCCAUGCAUGGCUACCUCCCCUCCCCACCACCUUCCCCUGUCCUCUCGCGUCACAUGGCCAGUCCAGUGCACAGCUGACCAUCCAUUCAAUGCUACGCAGCUUUCCAGCAGCUAUAUAACACGCCGGCCGGCUGCAGACAUUGGAGACCCAAGCUUCUUCUUCAGUAAGCUUGUAGCCAGCCAGCCAGCCAUGGGGAGGGGGAACGGAGUGAUGGGGAGCAAAGCUGUGGCGCUCGCGCUGCUGCUCUGCCUGAGCAGCGCGGCGGUGGGCGCGUGGGCGAGGCCCGUCGCGAACAAGGGGAAGCACGCCGCAGACGAGAAGUUCCUGUUGCUGAAGAAGCACUUCGGCAAGGGACUUGGAGGUGGCCUUGGGAAGGGUGGUGGGCUCGGUGGAGGUGGCGGUGGCGGCUACGGUGGUGGAGGAGGGCUCGGUGGCGGUGGCGGCUACGGUGGUGGAGGAGGGCUCGGUGGCGGUGGCGGCUACGGUGGUGGUGGAGGACUAGGUGGUGGCGCUGGCCAUGGUGUCGGUGGAGGUCUUGGUGGUGGGUUUGGCAAAGGCGGCCUUGGCGGUGGUUUUGGUAAANNNNNNNNNNNNNNNNNNNNNNNNNNNNNNNNNNNNNNNNNNNNNNNNNNNNNNNNNNNNNNNNNNNNNNNNNNNNNNNNNNNNNNNNNNNNNNNNNNNNNNNNNNNNNNNNNNNNNNNNNNNNNNNNNNNNNNNNNNNNNNNNNNNNNNNNNNNNNNNNNNNNNNNNNNNNNNNNNNNNNNNNNNNNNNNNNNNNNNNNNNNNNNNNNNNNNNNNNNNNNNNNNNNNNNNNNNNNNNNNNNNNNNNNNNNNNNNNNNNNNNNNNNNNNNNNNNNNNNNNNNNNNNNNNNNNNNNNNNNNNNNNNNNNNNNNNNNNNNNNNNNNNNNNNNNNNNNNNNNNNNNNNNNNNNNNNNNNNNNNNNNNNNNNNNNNNNNNNNNNNNNNNNNNNNNNNNNNNNNNNNNNNNNNNNNNNNNNNNNNNNNNNNNNNNNNNNNNNNNNNNNNNNNNNNNNNNNNNNNNNNNNNNNNNNNNNNNNNNNNNNUAGGCCACGGCAUCGGCGGUGGAUUCGGUAAAGGCGGAGGUCUUGGCGGCGGCAUCGGCAACGGUGGAGGACUCGGUGGUGGUGCCGGUGGCGGGUAUGGCAAUGGUGGUGGUCUUGGAAAUGGAGGCGGGCUCGGAGGCGGCAUCGGCCAUGGACUCGGUGGUGGCAUUGGAAAGGGUGGGGGUCUCGGUGGCGGCUUUGGCAAAGGUGGUGGACUAGGGGGCGGCUUUGGCGGUGGAGACGGCGGAGGCGGCGGUUUUGGCGGAGGCUUUGGCAAGGGAGGCGGAUUCGGUUUCGGGAUCGGCAAAGGUGGCGGUGGCGGGAUCGGCGGCGGCCACUGAUGUUGCAGUAUGUACGUUUGGCUCAGCUCUGUUCUGCUGAGGGCCGUUGGUCGUCAUAGUAUUCUGUCGAUGUGAGCAGUACGUGUGAUGAAACAUAUUUUUCCCUUGUAGAAUCUCACCACUAGUAUUUUCUUGUGUCUCCUGUUCUCUCAGGGAGACGUAUUCUCGCGCAUGUACGUUGGUGAUGGAACUGAUGGUAAUAUAUGAGCAUCUUGUAUGUCUUGGUCCAUGCCAGUGUAUGUUCCAGUGAUUUUGAAAUAUAAAUUUGGUACAAGUAAAUAAAACUUCAGAAGCUACCUGCAAGUGUUCAAAGUUCAGGAUGUUCAGAACAGAGCAAGCAUAGUAAGAAGGAACGACAUGCAAUGCAAAAGCUUACGGCGGCUGCUCAACCGGCUGACGGCCUAAAAUCUCUACUCAGUGUCCGGACUCCAGAACUCCAGAUUGUGUGUAGUUUGCGCCUGAGAGUGCUCAACAUGUAAACAGUGUUUAAUCACUGUAAACCAAACUUGGGCACGUGUUCUUCGGUAUAAAGUGCAGUGCGAGGGUGGAUGGGAGGCGAAGCUAUGGAAAAUCUCAAAAGUACCUUUCUACAUCUGAGCUCAUAUGUUCCUGGUGUGAACAGUAAAAUUAAUAAAAUAAAAUAAUAUUUCAAAAAUUUCUGAAUUUUUUGUGGCAUACUUUCAGAAAUGUUUGUUGUGCAUACAAUAUUUCAUCAUGAAAUCACAUUGGUCGAAGCCGUUGCGAAAAAAACAAAAUCAAAGCUCCAAAAUGUGUUUGUAAGUAACAUUUUUAAAGCGUCGAUUUUAUUUUUUUUACCACGCCUUCCAUCAAUGUCAUUUCAUGAUGAAAGUUUGAAUGCACAACAAACAUUUUUUAAAGUAUGCCACAAAGAAAUUGAAUUGUUUUUGAAAUAUAUUUUUAUUUUUUUAUCUUACUAUUCACACCAGGAGCAUGUGAAUUUACUAGUACAUCGUUCAGACUAUUUCUUUCCGUUCUUAUUUCUUUUCUGUCGUAGUGCAGCAUGUAUCUUGUACCAAUCAAUUUACUAGAUCCAUCCUCCAGUGCUCUAGUGCCCCCUCGUUUGGCUGAUAAUCCGGUACAGGUCUUGUCAAUGCUGACAUAACGUGUAGUACUCUCUUCAAUCCUUUUUAGUCUGCAUAUAAGUUUUGUCCGAAGUCAAAGUAUCUCUACUUUGACCAAAUUUAUAGGAAAAAAUAUCAACAUUGACAUUGCUUAAUCAAUAUUUUUAGAUUCAUUAUGAAAUGUAGUUGGAUGGUAUAUAUAUAUUUGGUAUUGUAGAUGUUGAUAUUUUUUAAUAUAAAUUUAGUCAAACUUUGCAAUGUUUGACUUGACAGAAAUCUAAUACGCGGAAUAAAAAGGACCGGAGGGAGUAGCUGUUUCGGGUUGUUGACUAGCGGGUCGAGUACCUGUUUCCAUAGCUGAGUGAGUCUCAGAGCGGAACAUCUGGGCGUUACGAGAGUCCCAGAGCUUCCAAAGGAUGGCGAGGGCGGCCGUNNNNNNNNNNNNNNNNNNNNNNNNNNNNNNNNNNNNNNNNNNNNNNNNNNNNNNNNNNNNNNNNNNNNNNNNNNNNNNNNNNNNNNNNNNNNNNNNNNNNNNNNNNNNNNNNNNNNNNNNNNNNNNNNNNNNNNNNNNNNNNNNNNNNNNNNNNNNNNNNNNNNNNNNNNNNNNNNNNNNNNNNNNNNNNNNNNNNNNNNNNNNNNNNNNNNNNNNNNNNNNNNNNNNNNNNNNNNNNNNNNNNNNNNNNNNNNNNNNNNNNNNNNNNNNNNNNNNNNNNNNNNNNNNNNNNNNNNNNNNNNNNNNNNNNNNNNNNNNNNNNNNNNNGCAUGUGAAGUCCAAGGAGAUGCCACACCUGGACCGCCCGAGGGCGGGAGAGGGCAAGGUGGGACGUGUCCUCGAGGUUAUGGGCACACCUCGGGCAAAGAGAGUCGGGGACAAUGGUCUUGCGGUGCAGAUUCGCCUUGAUGUUUAGCCCAUCCCUGAAAAGCAGCCAAGCAAAUUUUUUUACCUUGAUGGUGGCCCUUGAGCUCCAAAUGCGGUCGACGUGAGGGUUGAACUUGUUGGCGGAGGAGAGCAGCUAGUAAGCGCACCGCGCAAAGAACGCGACACGUGGGUGAGGGACCUGUCGUCGGGGUGAACUGUGGGAGCAACAUCCUGCAACAAGGUUAAACAUAUCAGUCUUGCUAAGUCUCAGUCAUCUGAGACUUCGUUAUGUCUCAGUUGAUGCUAUAUUCCUUUGAUCUUGCAUUGAGAUUCAUAUAAAAUUUUCUUUUCGUUUUUUUCUUUUUUCUUCUUAUAUCUACACCUACUAAUAAAGCAAGGUUCAUUUCUAUGAUUUUUUCAUCUGUUAACCACCAAACGAUUUUUGUUCUAUCCAAGGUGUUACUAAACUUUUGUGCAUCCAUCUGCUAAAAAAAUAGUUUUGUCCAGAAUUUUGUACAUGGGUCGCGCACGCUGUAGCCCAGCAAAACCAGCCCAUUUUUUUCCUGCCCAUGCAUCUGAGAAACAUUAUUUACCGCAUGUGGCGGCAAAUAGUCAGAGUUUCGCAUAGGGCGCCAAAGAUUGGGCCGACCCAUUUUUGUUUUUUCUCUAUACUGUUUCUAUUUUUCUUUUCUCUUUAUUUUUUACUUUUUUCCUUUCCAAUUUUAUUUUUAUUUUCCCUUUUUUUAUAAAUUCAACUCUUCAUUUUUUUCAGAAUUCCAACUUUUGCUUAAAUUUUUGCUAAAAUCAGAAGAAUUUCAAAAUUUUGUUCCCAUUUUGAAAUAUGUUUGAAACUUUAAAUUGCUUCUUCUCGUUCCAAAUUCUUUUCAAAACUAAACAAAUGUUUGAAUUUUUCAAAAAAUGUUUAUGUUUUCCAAAAAAAUCGAUAUUUUCAAAAUAAAUUGUAUUUUAAAAAGUUAUACAAAUAUGAAAAUAUUCACGUUUAUUUAAGUAUUCAAAAAUUUCUAGUAAUGUUUGUGUUGAAAAAACGCUUUUCAAAAAAUUGUUUUCAAUGUUCAAAACAUGUUUCCAUUUCCAAAAUUGUUGACAAAUUCAAAAAAGUCGGUUUCUUAGAAAUUUGUUUUCAAUGUUAAUACAUGUUUCCAUUUCUAAAAUUAUUCACACAUUUAAAAUGUUCAAAAUUGUUUUCAAAAAAUGUUUGUGAAUUUCAAAAAAACCAUUUCAAGUUUGGUUCGUCUUUUUUCCAAAAGUUAAUGAAAUUUUCAAAAAAUGCUGACAUUUUUUGGGAAAAGAAUCAUCACUUUAUUUUUUUUAAAUUCAAAAAAAUUCAAAAAAUCAAAAAUGUUUUUGAACGUGACGCUACAUUAUGUUCUUAAACAUUCGCGUUGGCCAUUUAUUAGCAGGAGCUAUUUGUUCAAAUGGCUAGCAGUACGUGGUCGACUUUUUGAGGUUGUGAGUCUAAUCCUUCAACUCAUCCGUUGUUUUGGAUUUUUAUUCGUAUCUUACAAACACAUGUCGUUUUGGUAACUGCCAGUGGUCUAGCCCAAACGCGAACUAUUGUGCAUCCCACGUGUCAUUUGACGAUAGAAGAAAAUAUGUUGGUUGACUAUAAUUAAAAGAGAUUGUAAGCACAUGCUAAUAAAAAAGAUAUGCUGAUUUGGCUCUGAUUAAAAAAAUGUAGGCAAGUGACCGCUAAAAUAAUUAAUGAGAAGAAACCCUGGUAAAGCAGGGACUACCUUGGUUUGCGCUGAUUAUGGCAAUGAAAUAUGAUUCGCUGCAAUUAGUAAUCCAUCUGGUUACGCCAUCGCAGGAGAGAUUGGUCAAAGCAACUAUGCCCCCAAAGGUCCCCAUGCAGCCACAAAAUGAGGAGGCAACCACAACCUAGGCACGGAGGCCGACCCGAAGGGAAAAAUGGCACGGGUUGAGCGGUGGCCACCAUCCCGACCAACACCACCACUAUGAAGAUCUCGCGGGCCAAACAUGACACGUGAGAGCAACUUGGUUCGCUCAUCCUUUGUAUCUUAGGACAUAUCUUCUUACAGAGAACCAUCAUUCUAUGCAAAAUAUUAUUUAUGCUUUGCUCAAUAUGAAUCACCCUUAAUACAUCGAUCCCAAACAUUUUCAACUUCUUAUGGUGCAUUUGGAAAUCAAGAAAUGAUUGUCUUUUUGCUAGGAAAUGUACUUUCCCUCAUCAGGUACAUCUUGCUGCGCUAGCCAUGGCUGAAUGCAACACUGUCCAAGAGGCUCCUCCUGACAAUCCUAAUUCUGCUCUCCAUGCUCAUAUUAACAGAGACAACAGUUUGGUGCUACAAUAGGGCUGCACCAUUAGGUCUGAUCUUCUAAUCUCAGGAGCCAAAAAAUUCUCUGAUGCUUUUUCCAAAUGUUCAAAAAUUCCAGGUUUAUCAAAUGGAGACGUAGCUAUGGGCAUUGGAGUUUUUCUCAAUUAGAAGUUUUUGCAGGACAAUAGAAUUAUCCAAGUUCAGAUUCAAGCAUCCGGCGCCACUAACUUCGUCACUUGUACAAGCAGAAGCACAAGCUCUUCUUCUUGCUACCAAAGCAGCGCAGAUCUUACAAGUCGAGCAGGCGACGUUUCUCACUGACAAUCUUUCUCUUGACAAGGCGGCGGCAAACAGGAAUGUAACAACAGAUUCCACUCCUUGGGUGAUUAGAGAAUCUCUUGCUGAUUUCUAUAGGACGACACAACAUCUACAACCAUAGGUAUUCCAUAUAUCUAGAGAAAUAAAUGGGAUUACGCGCAAUGUAGCUCAUCAGAUUCUUAGUCGCUCUUUGGAACCUGUCUAUAGUUGUUUCGGGUCAGCUCACAGGAACAGAAUAUGCCCUGUCAUUUCUACUCUUUCUACCUUAAAUUUACAGGGUUUUGUACUCCAUGUUGUACACUGUUUUUGAGUUGAAUGAAGUUGGCGUUGAGGGCUCCUUUCACCUUAAAAAAAAGCUAAUACGCGGUACUCAUUUGACUUGUCAAACCAUCGACAUCGCGAAUAAUGCUACCUCUAGUCCGUAUGGGUCCCGCCUACCAGUGGCCAUAUGAAAAAAUAAUGGGAAAUUUUUUAACACAUUACUUUUUUUGCGGGUGAAUUUUAACACAGUACUGACGGAACCUUCAUACAUACGCACAUAUAGUCACUUCAAUAAACACACACGCACACACUAUUCCUAUAAGCACCUCAAAGAGACUCAGCCGAUACAUUAUCUUGAGAUUGAUGAAGUUGUCAUAAACGUCUUCGUAGUCGACAUGAAUGUCUCCUCCCAAUGCAAAUGGCCAGAAGGCCCAAAAUAAAUCUAGGAAAUGCGAGCACUAAUGUCAAGUCUAAAAUCUGAACUUUAGUGGGCUGGGAUACUACUUCCCACCUAACUAUUAUUCAAGCACAUGUUGGUUCGCAUGAAAUACAGUUUUACACCGGUGAGGAAAGACAUAUUACAUAUACUUCCAACACUAACUAUUACUGGUAGAAUGCCGGUGCAUUGCUAUGGGCUACAAUGCAUAUACUUUAGGAAGCAUCGAUACUCUGAAUUCCUAAUCUAAUUAUACCCCUCAAUCUAGUAUGUUACCCGUUACACCUACAACUUUUUUUAAAUGUACUCUAUUGUUAUUUUGGUUGUUGGUAUAUCAUGAAAAAAAUUGAGCUACAAAAUAAAAUUCACUAAUUAGACAUGCAUGACCUUGGUAUCAAGAAUGAUUGCUUAAAUAAUUUUUGGAAUGUGUGCUGACACACAUAUCCAUUUAGAAAAGAACAAUUUUUAUAUUAACAAAAACCCGAGAGUUUGUACAAUUCGCGGAUGUAUGCGGUUAACCUGUAAUUGUGAAAGAAAAAAAGGUCUAUAGGAAGCUCGCUUUGUGCGCUUUGGUGGUGGCAGCUGGGUUGAUCCAUCUAUGCUCGUCCGGCCAUUCGCUACAGCACUCAUCACAUGAUAUAAAAUAAUGCAUGGAUAGGAAGAUGAUGGUAUGAGAGACAUUGAUCAUGUGAAGACUCUUCCUGCAAUUGCCUUUCGGCCGGACCGACCCGGAGGCGCGCUCCUUGGGCACCUCCUCUGAGGAUGCACGGCGGUGACCGGGUCAACGUGAGGCACAUCGUUGUCUCAGAGGAUGUCACCUCGGCAGUGUGGUAGGAAGCGGAUCAUCGUUGAGGGGGAAGGAUUCAGGAGGGGGACGAUUUUUUGUUUGUUUGUUUUUUUGUGCGAGGCAAGGGAGGUGGGUUUUCUUGUGCAUAUGAGGAGGUGGCGACGGAUGGAUUUUUUCGUAGGGGGAAGCAAGGGGAGUUCCCAUUUAAUUAUCCGCAUCCCUAAUUAAGUGUCUGACUAAUUAAUCAAUUGCAUUAAUGGCUCGAUUCUAAACUUGGUUUGCAUUAAUCCCUACUUAAAUAGACUUAAUUAAUCUCACAUGUAAUUAAUUAUCUGGCUCAUUAAUUGCUUUAUGACUUCAUUCCCAAAGUGAUUUGGUGAUUGGUUUCCACAUUAUUCUUUUGUAUUUUUGUUUUCUUUUUGCUUGAGGCAAAGGGAGUGAGUUUUCUUGUGCGUGUGGAGAGGUGGGAGCGGAUGGGUUUUUUCGUAAGGGGGUUUAGGGUUUAAUAGUAAUGAUAAAUUUGAAAAAAGUUUCUACUAUUAAUUAUCUCCAUCCCUAAUUAUGUGUUUGACUAAUUAAUUAAUUACAUUAGUGGCUUGAUUUCAUACAUAAUCUAGAGGGAAAAAAAUCAUACUUAAACGGACAUAAUUAAUUGGAUUCAUAAUUAAUUGCAUUAAUGACUUGAUUUUGAAAUUGAUUUGGUGCUUGGGUAUUGACUUGUGAUAUCUUUCAUAAUAAGCGUGAUCCAGCCAUUUAAGGCUCGGUAAUACAUUCCAUAAUUAAUGUGAUACUCAUGUCCGAAGAACAAUACUCUCUGUAAAUAACAUGUAUCAAGAAUGUUCGCUUAGAUAAUUUUUGGAACGUCUACUCACACAAAUAUCCAUUUAAAAAAAAGAACAAUAUUUGUAAUCAUAAAAAUCUGAGAGUUUGUACAAUUUUGUGAAUGUAUGCGGUUAACAUGUACUCCCUCCGUUCCGAAUUACUUGUCUUAGAUUUGUCUAGAUACAGAUGUAUCUAGACUCAUUUUAGUGCUAGAUACCUCUGUAUCUAGACAAAUCUGAGACAAGUAAUUCGGAACGGAGGGAGUAAUUGUGAAAAAAAGGGUUAUAGGAAGCUCGUUUUGUGCUCUUAGGAUGGUGGCAGCUGGGUUGAUUCAUCUAUGCUCGUCCGGCUGUCCGCUGCAGCACUCGUCCCAUGAUGUAAACAAUGCAUGAAUAGGAAGAUGAUGGAACGAGGGACAUCGUGUCUGCACGCGAACACGUCACCGUGUACCCUCGAUGCCGAGGAUGAUGCACCGCAGCUCACGUUGAAGGAGACCUGCCGGAAGUGCGGUACGCAAGACAAUACGGUGGACGCUUUUCAGGACCCGAAACCCACACGCCCGGGAGGGACCCCAAUAGAGGGCGUAGCGGCUAUGGGCUGCCCUAAGUCGACCAGAUCGCCCCUAGGGCCUUGAGGUUCGCCACCCUACAAUGAAGAAGAACGAACAAAUAACGAGGAAGAAAAAGAACAAGAGAUAAGAAAAGUAAAGGUAAAAGAUGUAGAUAGAUUUGUUCGAUUGUAUGUUGUUUUUUAAUCGGCCGUCAUCUUUUGUCUAUACUAGAACAAUUCCCGUGCGUUACAACGGGAUAUAAAUAUUCUAAUACGUUAACUUGUGAUUUACAUGUCAAUAAUAAUGCGAUUGUAUAAAUAAAUGUUCAUCAAGUCUGACCGUGAAUUACCUUAUAUCUCUACUACUUAAAAAGAACGCAAGGUUCCCAUUUCACCUUUUUUCCCACCACUCAUUCGUCCAACCUUUCAUGUAUAUGAUAAUCAAUCAUCCUAAUUUACUUACCUUCUGAAUCGAUUCCACUUUAAUUUACUUACCAAACUUCUAAUCAAAAUAUCUCUACUACUUAAAAAGAACGCAAGGUUCCCAUUUCACCUUUUUUUCACCACUUCUUCGUCCAACCUUCCAUGUAUAUGAUAAUCAAUCACCUUCAUUUACUUACCUUCUGAAUCAAUUUCACUUUAAUUUACUUACCAAACUUCUAAUCAAAAUAUCUGUACUACUUAAAAAGAACGCAAGGUUCCCAUUUCAGCUUUCUUUCCAUUAUCCCUUCGUCCAACCUCCCUUGUAUAUGAUAAUCAAUCACCUUAAUUUACUUACAUUCUUAAUCAAUUCCACUUAAUUUACUUACCAAACUUCUAUAUAAUCAAUCACCUUAAUUUACUUAGAGCAUCUCCAACAGGCGCGCUAAACAGGCGUCGCGCCGUAAAUAUAUCCACUUUAGCGCGCGCACAACCCGGCGGAUGGCUCCAGCGGGCGCGCAAUAACCGUGCGCGCGGCAGGAAGCGCUACCUCGCGCGGUGUAUUUGCGGCGCUCGCUUCCGCGCACGACACACUCGAGCGCUCACGCUGCGUUCUGUCUUCUCCCCCUCCAAAGCCCCGCGCACGCCGGCGCCGGCGACCCGCACCCAUGGACGCGCGCGCCGGCACCCCGCUCACCCCGUCCUAUAGCCGCGACCCCCCCCGCCGCCGCCACAAACCCUAGCCCGGGUGGCGUUGGCCUCGCCUCCGCCGGAGCUCCUCCGACCAUCGGCCUCGCGUGCGGCCUCUUUAUGCCGCCGCGGAUGACCUCAGCGGCGGGUGGCGUCGCGCCGACCCCGGCCUGAGCCGCCGCCCCCUCCUCCUCAAAGCUCCCCAAUGCGGCGCCGCCAAAGAAUGGCAAGACAUCGGCGAAGAAAAACAAGGCAGCGGACGACUCCGGCACCUUCAAGGCGAGGAGGAAGAAGCUUGCGGGGCGUGCGACGGGCGCGGCGGCUACCGAAGCACCGGCGAGCUCACUCGUUGAGCCGGCGGCCGGCGCACAAAACAUGUUCAACGAAAUGCCUCCAAGGUAAAAAAAUUCUAACUUUUCAUUUUUUCAUAUUGUUUGAAUGCAUUCUCACAUAUAGAUAGCUUAUUUGCAUUGUGCAAAAAAAAUUGUAGUCUCAAUGAUGAUGCAUACAUGUCAACGAUGGGUGUUGGCUCCAACAAUUCGCAUUGGUCUCAAACCAAUGACAUGCAUUUUGAAAACCAUGAGUUCGAGGUGGACGAGGAGAGUGAGGGCAUUGUCGAUGCACCGAAAGAAAGAGCAGGCAAUUACAGCAACGCCGAUGACAUGUUACUAUGCAAUACUUGGUUGCAAGUGUCGAGGGAUCCAUCCGUUGGAGGUGAUCAAAGUAGAGAUGCUUAUUGGCUUCGGAUGAAGGAACACUUUGGUUUUCGCAACGUGAGUAGAAUUGACCGCUCCGGCCGAUCACUUAGGUCCCGGUGGUCGACAAUCAACUCGGAUUGUCAAAGGUGGGCGGCUUAUCAAAAGGCGGUUGACAAGUUGAACCCAAGUGGCACAAAUGAGGAUGAUAGAGUAAGUGGCAUUUCAUACAUGUUCAUCAUACUUGUUGUUGGUGCUAACUUGCUUUGUUUUCAUGUAGUACAACAUUGCGCAAAACUUGUUCAAAGAAGAGGAGAGGAAAACCAAGAAGGGGAAGAUCAAGAAAGGAAGGAUAUUUACUUUGCCUCAUUGCUAUGAAGUGUUGAAGGAUGAUGAGAAAUGGAAGAAGCGUGAAGAUUUGGAUGAUUUGCAUUUGAGCAACAAACGAAAGCGAAUAAUUAAGUUGGAUGAUGAUGAUGAUGAGGAGGAGGAUGAUGCAUCAAGUGAUGACGGCAAGAGAAGCCCCACACCCAACUCGGUUUCAUACUGGAAGCCAAAGCGACCGGAUGGGUGCAAGAAAGACAAAACCGGAAAGAAGAAGAGGAAAGGAGAUGAUGAGCUCAAAAAUGCUAUGGAAGCAAUUGUGAAGGCAAGAAAAGAAGCCAACGAGGUGAGGAAAAUGGCAAGGAACCAAGAUGCUGCGGCCGAGGAGAGGAGGUUGGCGGCCGAGGAGAGGAGGGUGGCGGCCGAGGAGAGAAAGGUGGCUUUGGAGGAGAGGAAGGUGAGCAAUGAGGAGCGUACUAGAUUGUUGGAAUGGGAGAAGCACUUGUUCUUCUUGGACACAUCUAACCUCAAUGUGACACAAAAGGAGUAUGUCAAUCUAGCCCGUGAAGAAGUCUUGAUCCAAAAAAGAGCCAUGGUUCGUGCAAUGGGUGGCGGUGGCCUCGGCGCCAUGGGUGGCGGUGGCAUCGGCGCCAUGGGUGGCGGUGGCCUCGACGCCAUGGGUGGCGGUGGCCUCAGCGCCAUCUGUGGCAUGGGUGGCUUGGGUGGCUUUGGAGCACCCCCCGACGCUAUGGCCACCAUGGAAGGCAUGAGUUUUGCUUCUCUCAUGGGAGGCAUGGGUGCACCUCCGGCCUCCAUGGGCGGAAUGUCUUUCGAUGUUCCUCCUCGCACACUUUCUCAUGAAGAUGCCGUUGAAGAUCUUGCCAACACCGUCGGAGCUUCACGUGAUGCAGUGCGCAAUGAAGAGAGGGAGGAAGAUUCAUCUUUGGAGGCGGAAGAAUCGUCUUCUGAAGAUGAGGACAAGGACAAAGACGAGGAUGAGGAAUGAUGUGUCUUUCAUUUGUGUAUUGAACUUGAUUUGAAUUUUGAACUUGGUUGGAUGAACUUGUGGGUAUGAUUUUAAACUUGUGGGCAUGAACUUUUCUUCAUCAACUUGUUUAUGUGAAAUUUUAGUGUUGAAAAUGUUCAUCAUUUUGUGUUGAAAAUGCCAUAUGCAAUGCACCCGCGAGUGUCGCGCACUGCAUUUUUGCACGCUGCUGGAGCGGCGCGCGUGCGCUGCAUUUUAGCGCGGCUGCUGGAGCCAGCGCUGCGCGCCGCGCCAAACCAGACGAUGCGCGCGCGGCAAAUCUAUUUUUUGUGUGCGACGCGUCCGGCGCCUGUUGGAGAUGCUCUUACAUUCUUAAUCAAUUCCACUUUAAUUACUUACCAAACUUCUAAUGUAAGUAAAUUAAGGUGAUUGAUUAUCAUAUACAAGGAAGGUUGGACGAAGGGAUGAUGGAAACAAAACUUAAAUGGGAACCUUGCGUUCUUUUUAAGUAGUAGAGAUAUUUUGAUUAGAAGGUUGGUAAGUAAAUUAAAGUGGAAUUGAUUCAGAAGGUAAGUAAAUUAAUGUGGUUGAUUAUCAUAUACAUGGAAGGUUGGACGAAGGAGUGGUGAAAAAAAGAUGAAAUGGGAACCUUGUUGGGGAACGUUGCAGAAAACAAAAAUUUUCCUACGGUUUCACCAAGAUCCAUCUAGGAGUUCAUCUAGCAACGAGUAAUCGGAUUGCAUCUACAUACCUUUGUAGAUCACGCGCGGAAGCGUUCAAAGAACGGGGAUGAGGAAGUCGUACACAACGUGAUCCAAAUCACCGGAGAUCCUAGCGCCGAACGGACGGCACCUCCGUGUUCAACACACGUAUGGUCAGUGUAACGUCUCCUUCUUCUUGAUCUAGCAAGGGGGAAGGAGAGGUUGAGGAAGAUGGCUCUAGCAGCAGCACGACGGCGUGGUGGUGGUGGAGCUGAAGUACUCCGUCAAGGCUUCGCCAAGCACUAUGGAGGAUGAGGGGGUGUUGGAGAGGGAGAGGGAGGCACCAAAGGCAAAGGUGAGGUGCCCUCCCUCCCCCCACUAUAUAUAGGGGGCCUAGGGGGGGUGGCGGCCCUAGGAGAUGCAAUCUCCUAGGGGGGGGGGCGGCGGCCAAGGGGUGGGGGGCUUGCCCCCCAAGCAAGGGGGCGCCCCCUUUUAGGGUUUCCCCCAACCCUGGGCGCAUGGGCCCUUAGGGGAGUGGCACCCCAGCCCACUUUGGGCUGGGUCCCUUCCCACUUCAGACCAUGGGGCCCUCCGGGAUAGGUGGCCCCACCCGGUGGAUCCCCGGGACCCUUCCGGUGGUCCUGGUACAAUACCGGUGACCCCGAAACUUGUCCCGAUGGCCGAAAUAGCACUUCCUAUAUAUAAUUCUUUACCUCCGGACCAUUCCGGAACUCCUCGUGACGUCCGGGAUCUCAUCCGGGACUCCGAACAACAUUCGGGUUACUGCAUAUACAUAUCCCUACAACCCUAGCGUCACCGAACCUUAAGUGUGUAGACCCUACGGGUUCGGGAGACAUGUAGACAUGACCGAGACGGCUCUCCGGUCAAUAACCAACAGCGGGAUAUGGAUACACAUGUUGGCUCCCACAUGUUCCUCGAUGAUCUCAUCUGAUGAACCACAAUGUCGAGGAUUCAAGCAACCCCGUAUACAAUUCCCUUUGUCAAUCGGUAUGUUACUUGCCCGAGAUUCGAUCGUCGGUAUCCCAAUACCUGUUCAAUCUCGUUACCGGAAAGUCACUUUACUCGUACCGUAAUGCAUGAUCCCGUGACCAGACACUUGGUCACUUUGAGCUCAUAAUGAUGAUGCAUUACCGAGUGGGCCUAGUGAUACCUCUCCGUCAUACGGAGUGACAAAUCCCAGUCUUGAUCCGUGUCAACCCAACAGACACUUUCGGAGAUACCCGUAGUAUACCUUCAUAGUCACCCAGUUACGUUGUGACGUUUGGUACACCCAAAGCACUCCUACGGCAUCCGGGAGUUACACGAUCUCAUGGUCUAAGGAAAGGAUACUUGACAUUGGAAAAACUCUAGCAAACGAACUAUACGAUCUUGUGCUAUGUUUAGGAUUGGGUCUUGUCCAUCACAUCAUUCUCCUAAUGAUGUGAUCUCGUUAUCAAUGACAUCCAAUGUCCAUAGUCAGGAAACCAUGACUAUCUGUUGAUCAACGGGCUAGUCAACUAGAGGCUUACUAGGGACAUGUUGGUGUCUGUUAUUCACACAUGUAUUACGAUUUCCGGAUAACACAAUUAUAGCAUGAAUAAAGACAAUUAUCAUGAACAAGGAAAUAUAAUAAUAAUGCUUUUAUUAUUGCCUCUAGGGCAUAUUUCCAACAUUGCGUUUUUUAAGUAGUAGAUAUAUUUUGACUAGAAGUUUGGUAAGUAAAUUAAAGUGCAAUUGAUUCAGAAGGUAAGUAAAUUAAGGUGAUUGAUUAUCAUAUACAUGGAAGGUUGGACGAACGAGUGGUGGGAAAAAAGGCGAAAUGGGAACCUUGCGUUCUUUUUAAGUAGUAGAGAUAAGAGACGGAUGGACUUCCCGUACAAAAAAGGACUUGCCUAGCGGUCUAAAUCAUCAAAACCUAAUAAAACACGGACUAUUCAUGACCUCCGGCCCGGAUGUUCAGCUCAAGGCCCGGAUGAUCCGGCCUACCCCAGUUUUCUGACAGUAGAUCACUAAACCGACUCUAACUUUUGCAUAUGAACUUGGAUUAAGACGAUUUUUAUAUCAAAAUUAACCAUUUCGACGAGACACACAACUUUUCUGCUGAACACUUUUCGAUCUGAAGCCAUCUUGAGGAGGUUUCGGGCUGUUUUCUAAAGUCUGUAGCAGAAAAACUUGUCCGGACGUCCGGAACCUUGCCCGAAUGGCCUUUACUCGGAUCAUCCAGGUCUACAACUAGAUCAUCCGGCUUCAUCUUUUAGCUUCUGUUAUUUGCGUCAUUUAUUCCGCCUCUGGCCGAUUGAUCUGGACCCCGGCCCGGAUGAUCCGAUCAUGCAGUGCUGCAAUGCACAAUUUUGGUUGUAACUUUCACAUACGAUCUCGGAUGGGGACGGUUUUUAUAUCAAAAUCGUCCGUUUCGACGAGACAAAGAACUUUCAUUUGAAACAUUUUCCAUCCGAUGUCAUCUUGAUUUGGUUUUUUGCCAUGUAAAAAUAUGGUGUCAACACAUCGAUCAUGUGAAUACUCUUCCCGCAUUUGCCUCUCGAGUAGACCGGCCCUGAGACACACUCCUUGGGCAACUCCUCUGAGGACGCACGGCGGCGACCAGACCAACCCUAAGGCGUGUCAUUGUUUCAGAGGAUGUAAGCCCGACAUUGCGGUAGGCAAUGGAUCAUCGUUGAGUGGGAGGGGUUCAGGAAGAGGACAAUCUUUUUUGGUUGUUUUUUUGUUUUUACGCAAGGAAAGGAAGGUGGGUUUUGUUGUGUGUAUGUGGAGGUGGUGGCGGAUGGGUUUUCUCAUAGGGGGGAUCAAGGGGAGUUGAGUUGGACAUACCACAUAUAGUCCCCAACUCUCAUUUAAUAGUAGAGACGUGCAUGGCUAGAAAACUUCAUAUUAUUAAUUAUCUGGAUCCCUAAUUAAGUGUUUGACUAAUUAAUUAAUUGUAUUAAUGGCUGGAUGAUAACCCACAAGUAUAGGGGAUCGCAACAGUUUUUGAGGGUAGAGUAUUCAACCCAAAUUUAUUGAUUCGACACAAGGGGAGCCAAAGAAUAUUCUCAAGUAUUAGCAGCUGAGUUGUCAAUUCAACCACACCUGGAAACUUAAUAUCACCAGCAAGGUAUUUGGUAGCAAAGUAAUAUGAUACUAGUGGUAACGGUAGCAAAAGUAAUAUUUUUGGUUUUAUAGUGAUUGUAACAGUAGCAACAGAAAAGUAACUAAGCGAAGAACAAUAUAGGAAAAGCUCGUAGGCAUUGGAUCAGUGCUGGAUAAUUAUGUCGGAUGUGAUCAAUCAUGCAACAGUUAUAACAUAGGGUGACACAGAACUAGCUCCGGUUCAUCAAUGUAAUGUAGGCAUGUAUUCCGAAUAUAGUCAUACGUGCUUAUGGAAAAGAACUUGCAUGACAUCUUUUAUCCUACCCUCCCGUGGCAGCGGGGUCCUAUUGGAAACUAAGGGAUAUUAAGGCCUCCUUUUAAUAGAGUACCGGACCAAAGAUUUAACACAUAGUGAAUAUAUGAAAUCCUCAAACUACGGUCAUCACCGAUAAGUAUCCCGAUUAUUGUCACUUCGGGGUUAAUGGAUCAUAACACAUAAUAGGUGACUAUAGAGUUGCAAGAUAGGAUAAAGAACUCACAUAUAUUCUUGAAAACAUAAUAGGUUCAGAUCUGAAAUCAUGGCACUCGGGCCCAAGUGACAAGCAUUAAGCAUAGCAAAGUCAUAGCAACAUCAAUCUCAGAACAUAGUGGAUACUAGGGAUCAAACCCUAACAAAACUAACUCGAUUACAUGAUAAAUCUCAUCCAACCCAUCACUGUCCAGCAAGCCUACGAUGGAAUUACUCACGCACGGCGGUGAGCAUCAUGAAAUUGGUGAUGGAGGAAGGCUGAUGAUGACGAUGGCGAUGGAUUCUCCUCUCCGGAGCCCUGAAUGGACUCCAGAUCAGCCCUCCCGAGAGAGUUUAGGUCUUGGCGACGGCUCGGUAUCGUAAAACACGAUGAAUCCUUCUCUCUGAUUUUUUUCUCCCCGAAAGUGAAUAUAUGGAGUUGGAAUUGAGGUCGGUGGAGCGUCAGGGGGCCCACGAGGCAGGGGCACGCCCAGGGAAGGGGGGGGGUUGGCGCGCCCCCACCCUCGUGGAUAGAGUGUGGGCCCCCUGACGUGGAUCUUUUUGCUAGUAUUUUUAUAUAUUCAAAAAAUAAUCUCCGUUGAUUUUUAGGUCAUUCCGAGAACUUUUAUUUCUGCACAAAAAUAUACCAUGGCAAUUCUGCUGAAAACAACGUCAGUCCGGGUUAGUUCCAUUCAAAUCAUGCAAGUUAGAGUCCAAAACAAGGCCAAAAGUGUUUGGAAAAGUAGAUACGACGGAGACGUAUCAACUCCCCCAAGCUUAAACCUUUGCUUGUCCUCAAGCAAUUCAGUUGAUAAACUGAAAGUGAUAAAGAAAAACUUUUACAAACUCUGUUUGCUCUUGUUGUUGUAAAUAUGCAAAGCCAGCAUUCAAGUUUUCAGAAAAGAUUAUGAUCUAACCAUAUUCACAAUAACAUUUAGGUCUCAUGUUUACUCAUAUCAAUGGCAUAAUCAACUAGCGAGCAAUACUAAUAAAUCUCGGAUGACAACACUUUCUCAAAAUAAUCAUAUGAUAUAACAAGAUGGUAUCUCGCUAGCCCUUUUUGAGACCGCAAAACAUAAAUGCAGAGCACCUUUAAAGAUCAAGGACUGACUAGACAUUGUAAUUCAUGGUAAAAGAGAUCCAGUCAAGUCAUACUCAAUGUAAACUAACGAUAAUACAUGCAUAUGACAGCGGUGCUCUCCAACUGGUACUUUUUAAUAAGAGUAUGAUGACUCAACAUAAAAGUAAAUGGAUAGGCCCUUCGCAGAGGAAGCAGGGAUUUGUAGAGGUGCCAGAGCUCGAUUUUGAAAUGGAGAUGAAUAAUAUUUUGAGUGGUAUACUUUCAUUGUCAACAUAACAACUGAGAGAUCUCGAUAUCUUUCAUGCUACACACAUUAUAGGCGGUUCCCAAGCAGAAUGGUAAAGUUUAUACUCCCCCACCACCAACAAGCAUCAAUCCACGGCUUGCCCGAAACAACAGGUGCCUCCAACUAACAACAAUCCUGGGGGAGUUUUGUUUGCAAUUAUUUUGAUUUGAUUUGAGCAUGGGACUGGGCAUCCCAGUGACCAGCCAUUUUCUCGUGAGUGAGGAGCGGAGUCCACUCCUCUUGAGAAUAACCCGCCUAGCAUGGAAGAUACAUACAACCCUAGUUGAUACAUGAGCUAUUCGAGCAUACAAAACAGAAUGUUCAUUUGAAGGUUUAGAGUUUGGCAGAUACAAAUUUACUUGGAACGGCAGGUAGAUACCAUAUAUAGGAAGGUAUGGUGGACUCAUAUGGAAUAACUUUCGGGUUUAUGGAAUUGGAUGCACAAGCAGUAUUCCUGCUUAGUACAAGUGAAGGCUAGAAAGAGUAUGAGAAGCGACCAGCUAGAGAGCGACAACAGUCAUGAAUAUGCAUUAAAAUUAAUCAACACGGAAUGCAAGCAUGAGUAGGAUAUAGUUCACCAUGAAGAUAAAUAUCGUAGAGGCUAUGUUGAUUUUGUUUCAACUACAUGCGUGAACAUGUGCCAAGUCAAGCCACUAGAAUCGUUCAAAGGAGGAUACCACCCUAUCAUACCACAUCACAACCAUUUUAAUAGCAUGUCGGCACGCAAGGUAAACCAUUAUAAACUCCUAGCAAAUUAAGCAUGGCAUAAGCAAGUAUAAUCCCUAAUUGUCAUUGCAAACAUGUUUCAUUCAUAAUAAGUUGAAUCAGGAAUGAUGGACUAAUCAUAUUUACAAAAACAAGAGAGUUCGAGUUCAUACCAGCUUUUCUCAUCACAGUCAAUUCAUCAUAUAUCGUCAUUAUUGCCUUUCACUUGCACGACCGAACGGCAUGGAUAAUAAUAAUAAUGCACGUGCAUUGGACUAAGCUGGAAUCUACAAGCAUUCAAUUCAAGAGAGAAGACAAGGUAAUAUGGGCUCUUUGUUAGAUCAACAAUAAUGCAUAAGAGAGCCACUCAACAUUUUCAUCAUGGUCUUCUCCUCUUGACCCCCAAAGAAAAGAAAUAAAACAAAACUAUUUACACGGGAGAGCUCCCAACAAGCAAAAGAAGAACGAUAAAUCUUUUUGGGUUUUCUUUUUAAUUACUACUACUACAUGCAUGAAAAGUAAACUAACUAAAAGCUACAACUAAUUUUUUUGGUUUCUCUUAAGGUUUUUCAAACGCACAAGAAGAAAGCUUAAAAAGAAAAUAAACUAGCAUGGAUGAUACAAUGAAAAAGUAUGAGCAUUGACAAUUGGCAUGAGUGUAUGAACAUGAUUGUAAUGUCGGUGAGAGAUACGUACUCCCCCAAGCUUAGGCUUUUCGCCUAAGUUGUUCUAUGCCCAUGGAUGGCCUGGUGGAUAUCCGAAGUUGAAGCUGGGGUCGUACUGAGAUGCAUCAGCUACUGCCUAAAGAGCUGCAACUUGGAGGCGAGCUUCCUCUGCCCUCCUCUAUUACUCGUCCACCUCCUCCCUGGUUAUAACAUAUCUCCCUUUUGCCUGAAAGUCAAAGAAAGUAGGAGCAGGGAGAGCGACGUGAUAGGUGUGUCGUCUGUCAAAGAUUAGUCGGUACUGGAGGGAAUGAUCGUUCCUCUCAACAAACUGAUGAGAACCAUAGCAUUAUAAUCUAGAUAAGCAAGAGGCAACUCAAUAUCAUAUCCACGUAUGGGUACCUGAAGAAAAUUAGCUAAACGGGUUGCAUAAAUUCCACUGAACAAAUAUCCAUUAAUACUGUUAUUAUGCAACCUACGUGCAACAAUGGCCCCCAAGUUAUAUUGUGUAUCUCCUAAUACAACACUCUUGAGAACACUGAGAUCCGGAACACACAUAUGACAUGCCUCAUCCUUACCGUUAAUGCAUGUACCUAUAAAGAGAGCAAAAUAAUGUAUGGCAGGAAAAUGAAUGCUCCCUAUGGUAGCUUGCGUGAUUUCCAUAGAUUCCACCACAGUUAUACUAGCAAGAAAAUCUUUAUAUUCAGAUUUGCGAGGUUCACUAACAUUACCCACUGUGGGAGUUUACAAGUAGUAUUAAAAUAUUCUAAGUCCAUGGUAUAAGAUUUAUCAUAAAGAUCAAACAGGACAGUUUGAGAAUUGAAUGACGAUGUAAAUUUAAACCUUCUCACAAAUGAAUCAGUUAAAUAGAGAUACUGACGGCACUUAUCUGCCUCGAAGCUCUCAAGAUCAGCGUUACACACAUAUGCGUCAAAUUCUUCCUUGAUUCCUGCUUGAACCAUAAAAUCUUCGGACGACCAUUCACAAGGUCGCACUUGAGCAUCCCUUGGUAGUUCAUUGUCUGGCUCGCGUAUUGCGGGCCUGGGUCCUUGCUUCCUUGAGGAACCACCUUGGUACAUUUUCCUAAACAUAUUUCUUCCUCUGAAAAAUUUCUGAAAUUUUUAGUAACUUAAAAUAAAAGUGAACCAAACUCAACAAAAUUGAUAGUAACUACUCCUACAAGUGUCUAGAGGCCAUAUCAUGCAUAAAAACUACUUUUGACCACAUAAAUUUGACAUGCAAGCUCAAGAACAAGGUCACCUAAGCAUCAAAAAAUUGCAAUAAAUAAAGCACUAGAACAAAAACUAAUUGGACCAUUGGAGGAGUCACAUACCAAAGAACAAUCCCCCAAAGCAGUUUUGUGAAUGGAGCUUUGAGCAAGGAGAUCGAAAAUGGCAGCAAGAUGAGCAAUAACUCGGGUUUGAGCUGGCUAGUGACUUUUUCUGGAGCAAGACGAAGUGUGUGGGUGCAAGGACAAGUGGAGGGGACCCACGUGGGGUCCACGAGGUAGGGGGCGCGCCCAGGGGGUGGGCGCGCCCUCCACCCUUGUGGGCACGUGGCUACUCCCCCUGUUGUGUUCUCAGUGCCUAAAAUUCUUAAAUAUUCUGGAAAAAAAUCAUAUUUCAUUUUCAGGGCAUUUGGAGAACUUUUAUUUUCGGGGUAUUUUUUAUUGCAAGGAUAAUUCAGAAAACAGACAGAAAAAUACUAUUUUUUGCUUUAUUUAAGAUAAAUAACAGAAAGUAAAAGGAGGGUACAUAAGGUUGUGCUUUCUAAUUUUAUCCAUCUCAUGCUCAUCAAAAGGAAUCCACUAACAAGGUUGAUCAAGUCUUAUUAACAAACUCAUUCCGAAUCGCAUGAAACCGGAGAAAUUUCGGAUAACACUAGGUUACCUCAACGGGGAUAUGCAUAUCCCCAAUAAUAAGAAUAUCAUAUUUCUUCUUGAUAGUAGGAAGAGGAAAUUCAAAACCUCCAAUAGUAAUCGUUGACAUUUUUCCAAUAGAAUUUAUACUGUGGACUUGAGGUUGUUUCCUCGGAAAGUGUACCGUAUGCUCAUUACCGCUAACAUGAAAAGUGACAUUGCCUUUGUUGCAAUCAAUAACAGCCCCUGCAGUAUUCAAAAAGGGUCUACCAAGGAUAAUCGACAUACUAUCGUCCUCUGGAAUAUCAAGAAUAACAAAGUCCGUUAAAAUAGUAACGUUUGCAACCACAACAGGCACAUCCUCACAAAUACCGACAGGUAUAGCACUUGAUUUAUCAGCCAUUUGCAAAGAUAUUUCAGUAGGUGUCAACUUAUUCGAAUCAAGUCUAUGAUAUAAAGAGAGAGGCAUAACACUAACACCGGCUCCAAGAUCACAUAAAGCAGUUUUAACAUAGUUUCUUUUAAUGGAGCAUGGUAUAGUUGGUACUCCUGGAUCUCCAAGUUUCUUUGGUAUUCCACCCUUAAAAGUGUAAUUAGCAAGCAUGAUGGAAAUUUCAGCUUCCGGUAUCUUUCUUUUAUUUGCAACAAUAUCUUUCAUGUAUUUAGCAUAAAGGUUCAUUUUAAGCAUAUCAGUCAAACGCAUACGCAAAAAGAUAGGUCUAAUCAUUUUAGCAAAGCGCUCAAAAUCCUCAUCAUCCUUUUUCUUGGAUGGUUUAGGAGGAAAAGGCAUGGGUUUCUGAACCCAUGGUUCUCUUUCCUUACCGUGCUUCCUAGCAACAAAGUCUCUCUUAUCAUAACAUUGAUUCUUUGAUUGUGGGUUAUCAAGAUCAAUAACAUGUUCAAUCUCUACGUCAUUAUCGUUGCUAGGUUGAGCAUCAACAUGAACAUCAUCAUUAACAUUAUCACUAGGUUCAUCUUCAUUACUAGAUUGUGUUUUAGCAUCAGAAAUAGAAAUAUCAUUGGGAUUCUCAGGUGUGUCAACAACAGGUUCACUAGAAGCAUGCAGAGUCCUAUCAUUUUUCUUCUUCUUAGAAGAAGAAGAACUAGGUGCAUCGACAUUAGCUCUCUGAGAAUCUUGCUCAAUUCUCUUAGGGUGGCCCUCAGGAUACAAAGGUUCCUGAGUCAUUUUACCCCCUCUAGUCAUAACUCUAACAACAUUAUCAUUUUCUUAUUAUUUAAUUCAUUGAGCAAAUCAUUCUGAGCCUUAAGUACUUGUUCUACUUGAGUGGUAACCAUAGAAGCAUGUUUACUAAUAAGUUUAAGUUCACCUUUAACUCUAGAUAUAUAAUCACAGAAGUGUUCAAGCAUAUCAACAUUGUGUUUCAAUUGUCUACCAACAUAAGCAUUGAAGUUUUCUUGUUUAACAAUAAAAUUAUCAAACUCAUCUAAGCAUUGGCUAGCAAACUUAGUAAAUGGGAUUUCGCAUUUAUCGAAUCUAUAGAGAGAAUUUACCUUUACUACCUGUGUCGGGUUAUCAAGACCAUGUAUUUCUUCAAUAGGCAGUAAAUUCUUAACAUCUUCAGCUUUUAUACCUUUUUUCUUUCAUAGAUUUCGUUGCCUCUUGCAUAUCUUCAAGACUGAGAAAUAGAAUACCCCUUUUCUUCGGAGUUGGCUUAGGAGUUGGUUCAGGAAGUGUCCAAUUAUUUUCAUUAGUCAACAUAUUAUUCAAUAGAAAUUCAGCUUGAGCAACAGUUCUUUCGUUGAAAACACAACCAGCACAACUAUCCAGGUAGUCUCUGGAAGCAUCGGUUAGUCCAUUAUAAAAGAUAUCAAGUAUUUCAUUCUUCUUGAGAGGAUGAUCAGGCAAAGCAUUAAGUAAUUGGAGAAGCCUCCCCCAAGCUUGUGGGAGACUCUCUUCUUCAAUUUCCACAAAAUUAUAUAUUUCCCUUACAACAGCUUGUUUCUUAUGAGCGGGGAAAUAUUUAGCAGAGAAGUAAUAAAUCAUAUCCUGGGGACUACGCACACAACCAGGAUCAAGAGAAUUUAACCAUGUUUUAGCAUCACCCUUUAAUGAGAAAGGAAAUAACUUAAGGAUAAAGUAAUAUCCGGUUUUCUCAUCAUUAGUGAAUAGGGUGGCUAUAUCAUUUAAUUUAGUAAGAUGUGCCACAACAAUGUUAGAUUCAUAGCCAUAAAAAGGAUCAGAUUCAACCAGAGUAAUUAGCUUAGGAUCAACAGAGAAAUCUUAAUCCUUACCAGUAAUAAAGAUAGGUGAAGUAGCAAAAGUAGGGUCAUAUUUCAUUCUAGCAUUCAAAGACUUUUCCUUAAGCUUAGCUAGUAAUUUCUUAAGAUCAGAUCUAUCAUUGCAAGCUAAGAAGUCUCUAGCGGUUUCUUCAUCCAUAACAUAACCCUCAGGCACAGCAGGUAAUUCAUAUCUAGGGGGAGAAUCUUGAUCAUCACUUUCAUCAAUAUUAUCAGUUUCAAUAAUUUCAUUCUCUCUAGCCCUAGCAAGUUGUUCAUUAAGAAAUUCACCUAGUGGCACAGUAUAAUCAAGCAUAGAAGUAGUUUCAUCAUAAGUAUCAUGCAAAGCACAAGUGGCAUCAUCAAUAACGUGUGACAUAUCAGAAUGAAUAGCAGGUGUAGGUGUCACAAGUUUACUCAAAACAGAAGGUGAAUCAAGCGCAGAGCUAGAUGGCAGUUCCUUACCUCCCCUCGUAGUUGAGGGAAAAAUCUUGGUUAUUUGAUCUUUCAAGUUCUUGAUAGUGAUAAGCAGAUAUAAAUCCCAAGUGACUCAAAGAAUAGAGCUAUGCUCCCCGGCAAUGGCGCCAGAAAAUAGUCUUGAUAACCCACAAGUAUGGGGGAUCACAACAAUUUUCGAGGGUAGAGUAUUCAACCCAAAUUUAUUGACUCGACACAAGGGGAGCCAAAGAAUAUUAUCCAGUAUUAGCAGCUAAGUUGUCAAUUCAACCACACCUGGAAACUUAAUAUCUGCAACAAGGUAUUUAGUAGCAAAGUAAUAUGAUAGAGUGGUAACAGUAGCAAAAAUAAUAUUUUUGGUUUUAUAGUGAUUGUAAUAGUAGCAACAGAAAAGUAAAUAAGCGAAGAACAAUAUAGGAAAAGCUCGUAGGCACUGGAUCAGUGAGGGAUAAUUAUGCUGGAUGUGAUCAAUCAUGCAAUAGUUAUAACAUAGGGUGACACAGAACUAGCUCCCAUUCAUCAAUGUAAUGUAGGCAUGUAUUCCGAAUAUAGUCAUACAUGCUUAUGGAAAAGAACUUGCAUGCCAUCUUUUGUCCUACCCUCCCAUGGCAGCGGGGUCCUAUAUAUUGAAAACUAAGGGAUAUUACGGACUCCUUUUAAUAGAGUACCGGACCAAAGCAUUAACACAUAGUGAAUACAUGAACUCCUCAAACUACGGUCAUCAUCGGUAAGUAUCCCGAUUAUUGUCACUUCGGGGUUAACGGAUCAUAACACAUAAUAGGUGACUAUAGAAUUGCAAGAUACAUUCAGGAACUCACAUAUAUUAUUGAAAACAUAAUAGGUUCAGAUCUGAAAUCAUGGCACUCGGGCCCUAGUGACAAGCAUUAAGCAUAGCAAAUUCAUAGCAACAUCAAUCUCAGAACAUAGUGGAUACUAGGGAUCAAACCCUAACGAAACUAACUCGAUUACAUGAUAAAUCUCAUCCAACCCAUCACCGUCCAGCAAGCCUAUGAUGGAAUUACUCACGCACGGCGGUGAGCAUCAUGAAAUUGGUGAUGGAGGAAGGUAGAUGAUGACGAUGGUGACGAAUUCCCCUCUCCGGAGCCCCGAACGGACUCCAGAUCAUCCCUCCCGAGAGAGUUUAGGGCUUGGCGGCAGCUCCAUAUCGUAAAACGCGAUGAAUCCUUCUCUCUGAUUUUUUCUCCCCAAAAGUGAAUAUAUGGAGUUGGAGUUGAUGUCGAUGGAGCGUCAGGGGGCCCACGAGGCAGGGGCGCGCCCAGGGGGGUAGGCGCGCCCCCACCCUCGUGGACAGGGUGUGGGCCCCUGACGUGGAUUCUUUUGCCAGUAUUUUUUAUAUAUUCCAAAAAUAAUCUCCGUUGAUUUUCAUGUCAUUCCGGGAACUUUUAUUUCUGCACAAAAAUAACACCAUGGCAAUUCUACUGAAAACAACGUCAGUCCGGGUUAGUUCCAUUCAAAUCAUGCAAGUUAGAGUCCAAAACAAGGGCAAAAGUGUUUGGAAAAGUAGAUACGACGGAGACGUAUCACUGGAUUCUAAGCUUGAUUUGUCACAAAAACAUGUACUUAAACAAAAUUAAUUAAUUGCACACGUAAUGAACUAUCAGGCUAAUUAAUUGCAUUAUGACUUGAUUCCCAAACUGAUUUGGAGAUUGCUUUCCAAAUUAUUAUUUUCUUUUUUGGUUUUUUGCUUGAGGCAAGGAAGGUGGGUGUUUCUUAUGCAUGUGGGGAGGUGGGAGCGGAUGGAUUUUUUCAUAAGGGUAUCUAGGGUUUAAUAGUAACGAUAAAUACGAAAAAAGUUCCUACUAUUAAUUAUCUAUAUUCAUAAUGAUGUGUCUAGUUAAUUAAUUGAUUACAUUAAUUGCUUGAUUUCAUAUUUAAUUUGGUGCAAAAAAUCCAUACUUAAAUGGACUUAAUUAAUUGCAUGCAUAAUUAAUUGUAUUAAUGGCUUGAUUUUCAAAUUGAUUCGGUGCUUGGUUUCCAAAUUGUUUUGCACUAUUGACUCGUGAUACCUUUCAUAAUUAACAUGAUCCUCCCAUUUAAGGCUCGAUAAUACUUUCUAUAAGUAAUAUGAUACUCAUGUCCAAAUAACAAUACUCUCCAUAAUUAACGUGAUCCUUUCGUUCAACCCUCGAUGAUACUAUUUAUAAUUAUCGUCAUCCUCAUGUCUAAAUAAUAAUACUCUUCAUAAUUAACUUGAUCCUACUUUCAAACGCUCGAUAAUAUUUUUCAUAAUUAGCAUGAUCCUUGUGUAGAAAUAAUGAUACUCUUCAUAAUUAAUGUGAUCCUUAUGUCCAAAGAAUGAUACUCUUCAUAUUAGUAUGAUCCUUAUACUUUCCAAAUUAAAUGGGCAUAUUAAUUGUCUGCCUAAUUAAGACACAUAAUUAACUAUUUUGGCUAAUUAAUUGCAUGCAAGUGUGGGCAAAGCAUGAAUUGGACAAGAGAUAACUGAGGUGAUUUUUGGGCAUAAAUGGAUGCAUGCAAAACCGAACCAAACCAAACUAAACAACGUACAAAACUACCAUCAUUAACGUGGACUCCCCCCUUUAGGAGUAGAGAUUAGUAGAAUGUAUGUGUGUUUCUAUGGGCUACAAUGCUUAUACUUGAGGAAGCAUCUCUUAUCUGAACUCCUAAUCCAAUUAUGCCCCUCAAUCUAAUAUGUUAGUCAAUCCUCACAGGACAUGCCUCCAGAUGCCGGUUCCACCCAAGUGAGGGAGUCCUAGAUCAAGGGGUCCUCAGGCGUCCGGGCUAUAUGAUGUGGGCCGGACUAAUGGGCCGUUAAGAUACAAGACAGAAGACUUCCUCCCAUGACUGGAUGGGACUCUCCUUUACAUGGAAGGCAAGCUUGGCAUUCACAUAUGAAGAUUCCUUCCUCUGUAAACCAACUCUAUACAACCCUAGGUCACUCUGGUGUCUAUAUAAACCGGAGGGUUUAGUCCAUAGAGGCAAUCAUAAUCAUACAUGCUAGACGUCUAGGGUGUAGCCAUUACGAUCUCGAGGUAGAUCAACUCUUGUAAACCCCAUAUUCAUCCAAGAUAAUCAAGUAGGAAGUAGGGUAUUACCUCCAUCAAGAGGGCCCGAACCUGGGUAAACAUCGUGUCCCUGUCUCCUGUUACCUUCGAUCCUUAGACGCACAGUUCGGGACCCCCUACCCGAGAUCUGCCGGUUUUGACACCGACAUUGGUGCUUUCAUUGAGAAUUCCUAUGUGGCGUCGACAAUAGGACUGAUGGCUCGCCUUGUUAUCAAGGACAGCAUCACUUCCAGGGAAGCCCUGGCCUCAGGCCAAACCCUCCGGCUGGGAAGCUUUACCAUGGCCGCCCGUUCGGCCUUUAAGCCGAUGAUGACUUCCCAAGUCAUCAAAAAUCGUCUCCAUGUUGACCCUGAAUACUCCAAACGGAUGGAUCCGGCGGAUUUGUCGUCUUUAAAUGAACUCUUGGAUCGCAUUACCGCCCUGGGGGUCGCUACAGACUAUGAUCGGAUUGGGCUUAAACCCGAUCAGAGAGAAAUCAAAUCUCCGAUGGUCACCCAUCAGAUAGAGGUCGUAGAGGAGCAAAACAACAACUCUUCCCCUAUGCUGAAAACAAGCUACGUUCGGAUUUCCGAGCUCGGAGAGCCGGAUACCCGUCUGCGGGGUGAUACUUCCAGUCCUUCGAACUUAGAAUCGGGCGUUGGGACUAAAGAAUCAUUGGACACCCCGGAACCCCAACUAAUAAACUCGGAAGUUUUUCAAACACCGGACUCCACAUUGGGUCAGGGUUCGGAUUUAACGCCACCCACCCACCACAAGCAAUAUUCGCCAAGCAAUUCCGGUCCCCCGGAUAUACGUGAUCUCGUGUACGUACAACAGCAGCCUCAGGAAACAGUCCAUCACUUUUGGGCCAGAUUCCUCCUUGUCAAGGACAAGAUUAAACAUUGCCGCGACGAGGAUGCGAUUUCAGUAUUCUGCAAUAAUUGCAUGGACAAAGGAAUCCUCAACGCCCUCAACCGCCGUCGCGUACUACACUUCGCUGACUUGGCAACCAUAGUACAGAAGUAUUGCGAAAUGGAAAGUUCCUGGAAAACUUAGACAUCUCACUGGGAACCACCGGCCUGGGCGCCACCUCCCUGGCGGGCAAAAAGGAUGCACCCUCGCGGGGCACACGACCCUAUAGGCAAGAAAAUUAAACCCAUUAUGGGACGUGGAACCGUCCUUGAGGGAUGACAUGACAAGCCAUGCAAAAUACACACGACACCGGAUAACGAACCAACCCACAGCCUCAGAGCAUGUUGGAUAUUCCAGCAAGUGGCCAAGAGCGGCGAGGAUAUCCUCACCAAAAACACCUCAGAGCAGUACUCUCCGGAAUACAAUGACCUCAGAGUAUUGACGAUCUUCGAGACUUUCACUUCAAACAAUCGGUGCAAGAGGGCACUCCGUGACCUCGUCGAAGUCUGCCAAGUCACAACAAUAAAUCCCUGGAACGACACGGCCAUAACUUUUAAUGCUGAGGACGAACAAAAGUCUGGUCACCAGCCGCCUGGUGACCCACAAGUGUAGGGGAUCUAUCGUAGCCUUUUCGAUAUGUAAGAGUAUCGAACUCAACGAGGAGCAGAAGGAAAUGAUAAGCGGUUUUCAGCAAGGUAUUCUCUGCAAGCACUGAAAUUAUCGGUAACAGAUAGUUUUGUGAUAAGGUAAUUUGCAACGAGUAACAAGUAAUAAAAGUAAAUAAGGUGCAACAAGAUGGCACAAUCCUUUUUGUAGCAAAGGACAAGCCUGGAUAAACUCUUAUAUGAAGGAAAGUUCUCCCGAGGACACAUGUGAAUAUCGUCAAGCUAGUUUUCAUCACGUCCAUAUGAUUCGCGUUCGGUACUUUGAUAAUUUGAUAUGUGGGUGGACCGGUGCUUAGGUGCGGUGUUUACUUGGACAAACAUCCCACUUAUUAUUAACUCCUAUUGCAAGCAUCCGCAACUACAAAAGAAGUAUUAAGGUAAACCUAACCAUAGCAUGAAACAUAUGGAUCCAAAUCAGUCCCUUACGAAGCAACACAUAAACUAGGGUUUAAGCUUCUAUCACUCUAGAAACCCAUCAUCUACUUAUUACUUCCCAAUGCCUUCCUCUAGGCCCAAACAAUGGUGAAGUGUCAUGUAGUCGACGUUCACAUGACACCACUAGAGGAGAGACAACAUACAUCUCAUCAAAAUAUCGAACGAAUACCAAAUUCACAUGACUACUAAUAGCAAGACUUCUCCCAUGUCCUCAGGAACAAACACAACUACUCACAAAGCAUAUUCAUGUUCAUAAUCAGAGGGGUAUUAAUAUGCAUAAUGGAUCUGAACAUAUGAUCUUCCACCAAGUAAACCAGCUAGCAUCAACUACAAGGAGUAAUCAACACUACUAGCAACCCACAGGUACCAAUCUGAGGUUUGGAUACAAAGAUUGGAUACAAGAGAUGAACUAGGGUUCGAGAUGAGAUGGUGCUGGUGAAGAUGUUGAUGGAUAUUACCCCCUCCCGAUUAGAGGAUCAUUGGUGAUGACGAUGGUGAUGAUUUCCCCCUCCCGGAGGGAAGUUUCCCCGACAGAACAGCUCCGCCGGAGCCCUAGAUUGGUUCCGCCUCGCGGCAGCAGAGUUUCAUCCCAUAAGCUUGCUUAUGGCUUUUUCUCGGACGAAAGACCUCAUAUAACAGAAGAUGGGCAUCGGAGGGCCACCAAGGGGCCCACGAGGCAGGGGGCGCGCCCAGGGGGGUAGGGCGCCCCCCACCCUCGUGGCUGGUGGGUGGCCCCCCUCUGGUACUUCUUGCGCUCAAUAUUUUUUAUAUAUUCUGAAACAUGCUCCCAUGAAGUUUCAGGACUUUUGGAGAUGUGCAGAAUAGGUCUCUAAUAUUUUCUCCUUUUCCAGCCCAGAAUCCCAGCUGUCGGCAUUCUCCUUAUUCAUGUAAACCUUGUAAAAUAAGAGAGAAUAUGCAUAAGUUUUGUGACAUAAUGUGUAAUAACAGCCCAUUAUGCAAAUAAAUAUCGAUAUAAAAGCACGAUGCAAAAUGGACGUAUCACUGCCUUGGUUCUCAAUCCAAUUGUGGAUGGCUUUCAGCUCACUAAAGUGCUCAUGGACGGCGGCGGCGGGUUGAACCUCAUCUACGAGGACACGCCCAAUAAAAUGGAAAUGGAUAGGAGCCGCAUCAAACAAAGUAAUACGACCUUUCCAGGAAUCAUUCCCAGCUGGGAAGCAAGAUGCGCGGGAAAAAUUAAACUCGACGUGGUAUUCGGCACGCCGGAGAACUAUCGGUCCGAAGAGAUAACCUUCCAAGUGGAACAUUUCAAAAGUGGAUAUCACGCCCUGUUGGGGCGAGACGCAUUCACGCGCUUUCAAGCCAUACCUCACUACGGGUAUAUGAAGCUCAAGAUGCCCGGGCCAAACAGUAUUAUCACUCUCGCCAGUGAUCCAGACAUAGCGCUCCGCGCCGAAAACAAAACCGCAUCCCUGGCCCUCGAAGCACUAUCCGAGGCCCUAGUGGCCGAAGAAUUAACAGCACUAUGCUCCAUGGUGGAUAGGGACGGCGUAAUCCUUGAUAAGCGGCCCAAAUCCACCUCCUUCAAACCAGCAGACGAAAUAGUUAAAUUUCAAGUUCACUCGACGGACCCAAAGAACACAGCUUCCAUCGGAGCACAGUUGGACCCGACGGUUGACGCUGCAUUACGCGCGUUCCUGCGCGACAACUGGGACAUAUUCGCAUGGCACCCUUCUGAUAUGCCAGGAACCCCAUGCAGAUUGGCCAAACACAGCCUCAAUAUAUUAAAGGGAUAUAAGCCGGUCAAGCAAACACUGCGGCGCUUUUCCGAACCUAGACGACAAGCCAUGGGGGAGGAGCUAGCCAAGUUAAUUGAGGCCAGGUUCAUCAGAGAAAUAAAACACCCGAACUGGCUAGUGAUACGUCUCCAACGUAUCUAUAAUUUUUGAUUGUUCCAUGCUAUUAUAUUAUCUAUUUUGGAUGUUUAUGGGCUUUAUUAUGCACUUCUAUAUUAUUUUUGGGACUAACCUAUUAACCCAGAGCCUAGUGCCAGUUUUUGUUUUUUCCCUUGUUUCAGUGUUUCGCAGAAAAGGAAUAUCAAACGGAGUCCAAACGGAAUGAAACCUUCGGGAGCAUGAUUUUUGGAACGAACAUGAUCCAGGAGACUUGGAGUUGAAGUCAAGGAAGCUUCGAGGUGGCCACGAGGCAGGGAGGCACGCCUGCCCCCUGGGCGUGCCCCCACCCUCGUGGGGCCCUCAUGGCUCCCCUGACCGACUUCUUUCGCCUAUAUAUGUCCAUAUACCCUAGAAACAUCAAGGAUGAGAAUAGAUCGGGAGUUCCGCCGCCAGAAGCCUCUGUAGCCACCGAAAACCAAUCUAGACCCGUUCCGGCACCCUGCUGGAGGGGGGAAUCCCUCUCCGGUGGCCAUCUUCAUCAUCCCGGCGCUCUCCAUGACGAGGAGGGAGUAGUUCUCCCUCGGGGCUGAGGGUAUGUACCAGUAGAUAUGUGUUUGAUCUCUCUCUCUCUCGUGUUCUUGAGGUGGUAUGAUCUUGAUGUAUCACGAGCUUUGUUAUUAUAGUUGGAUCUUAUGAUGUUUCUCCCCCUCUACUCUAUUGUGAUGAAUUGAGUUUUCCCUUUGAAGUUAUCUUAUCGGAUUGAGUCUUUAAGGAUUUGAGAACACUUGAUGUAUGUCUUGCACGUGCUUAUCUGUGGUGACAAUGGGAUAUCACGUGAUCCACUUGAUCUAUGUUUUGGUGAUCAACUUGCGAGUUCCGUGACCUCGUGAACUUAUGCAUAGGGGUUGGCAACGUUUUCGUCUUGACUCUCCGGUAGAAACUUUGGGGCACUCUUUGAAGUUCUUUGUGUUGGUUGAAUAGAUGAAUCUGAGAUUGUGUGAUGCAUAUCAUAUAAUCAUACCCACGGAUACUUGAGGUGACAUUGGAGUAUCUAGGUGACAUUAGGGUUUUGGUUGAUUUGUGUCUUAAGGUGUUAUUCUAGUAUGAACUCUAGGGCUGUUUGUGACACUUAUAGGAAUAGCCCAACGGAUUGGUUGGAAAGAAUAACUCUGAGGUGGUUUCGUACCCUACCAUAAUCUCUUCGUUCGUUCUCCACUAUUAGUGACUUUGGAGUGACUCUUUGUUGCAUGUUGAGGGAUAGUUUUAUGAUCCAAUUAUGUUAGUAUUGUUGAGAGGACUUACACUAGUGAAAGUAUGAACCCUAGGCCUUGUUUCCUAGCAUUGCAAUACCGUUUACGCUCACUUUUAUCAUUCGUUACCUUGCUGUUUUUAUAAUUUCAGAUUACAAAUACCCAUAUCUACUAUCCAAAUACCACUUGUUUCAUCAUCUCUUCGCCGAACUAGUGCACCUAUACAAUUUACCAUUGUAUUGGGUGUGUUGGGGACACAAGAGAUUCUUUGUUAUUUGGUUGCAGGGUUUCUUGAGAGAGACCAUCUUCAUCCUAUGCCUCCUACGGAUUGAUAAACCUUAGGUCAUCCACUUGAGGGAAAUUUGCUACUAUCCUACAAACCUCUGCACUUGGAGGCCCAACAACAUCUACAAGAAGAAGGUUCUGUAGUAGACAUCAGCUAGCAAACCUGGUGAUGGUACCAAAGAAGGAUAAAUCCUGGUGCCUGUGCAUCGAUUUCAAAGACCUCAAAAGGCCUGCCCCAAGGAUCCCCCCCUCCCCUGCAUCGAUCAGAUCAUUGAUGCCACUUCAAGACAUGACUCACUGUGUUUCCUCGACGCAUACUCCGUGAAGGAAAUAUGCCCUAGAGGCAAUAAUAAAGUUGUUAUUUAUAUUUCCUUAUAUCAUGAUAAAUGUUUAUUAUUCAUGCUAGAAUUGUAUUAACCGGAAACUUAGUACAUGUGUGAAUACAUAGACAAACAGAGUGUCACUAGUUUUGCCUCUACUUGACUAGCUCGUUGAAUCAAUGAUGGUUAUGUUUCCUAACCAUAGACAUGAGUUGUCAUUUGAUUAAUGGGAUCACAUCAUUAGAGAAUGAUGUGAUUGACUUAACCCAUCCAUUAGCUUAGCACAAUGAUCGUUUAGUUUGUUGCUAUUGCUUUCUCCAUAACUAUACAUGUUCCUAUAACUAUGAGAUCAUGCAACUCCUGAAUACCGGAGGAACACUUUGUGUGCUACCAAAUGUCACAACGUAACUGGGUGAUUAUAAAGGUGCUCUACAGGUGUCUCCGAUGGUGUUUGUUGAGUUUGCAUGGAUCAAGAUUAGGAUUUGUCACUCCGAUUGUCGGAGAGGUAUCUCUGGGCCCUCUCGGUAAUGUACAUCACAAUAAGCCUUGCAAGCAAUGUAGCUAAUGAGUUAGUUACGAGAUGUAGCAUUACGGAACGAGUAAAGAUACUUGCCGGUAAUGAGAUUGAACUAGGUAUUGAGAUACCGACGAUCGAAUCUCUGGCAAGUAACAUACCGAUGACAAAGAGAACAACAUAUACCAUUAUGCAGUUUGACCGAUAAAGAUCUUCGUAGAAUAUGUAGGAGCCAACAUGAGCAUCCAGGUUCCGCUAUUGGUUAUUGACCAAAGACAUGUCUCGGUCAUGUCUACAUAGUUCUCGAACCCGUAGGGUCCACACGCUUAACAUUCGGUGACGAUCGAUAUUAUGAGUUUAUGUGUUUUGAUGUACCGAAGGUAGUUCGGAGUCCCGGAUUUGAUCACGGACAUGACGAGGAGUCUUGGAAUGGUCGAGACAUAAAGAUCGAUAUAUUGGAAGCCUAUAUUUGGACAUCGAAUAGUUCCAGUGGUUCGGGCAUUUUUCCGGAGUACCGGGAGGUUACCGGAACCCCCCGGGGAGUAUAUGGGCCUUAUUGGGCCUUAGUGGAAUAGAGGAGAGGGAAGGGAAAAGAGGGAGGCGUGCCCCCAAGCCCAAUGCAAAUUGGGAAGGGAGCCGCCCCCCUUUCCUUCCUCCCUCUCUCCUCCUUCCUUCCUCUCCUACUCCUACUUGGAAGGGGGGGGGGGGAUCCUACUCCCAAAGGGAGUAUGACUCCCCUAGGGCGCUCCAUAGAGAGGGCCGGCCCUCCCCCUCCUCCACUCCUUUAUAUACGGGGGAGGGGGGCACCCCAUAGACACAAGUUGAUCAUUGAUCUUUUAGCCGUGUGCGGUGCCCCCCUCCACCAUAAUCCACCUCGGUCAUAUCGUAGCGGUGCUUAGGCGAAGCCCUGUUCCGGUAGCAUCAUUAUCACCGUCAUCACGCCAUCAUGCUGACGAAGCUCUCCCUCGACACUCUGCUGGAUCAUGAGUUCAUGGGACGUCACCGAGCCGAAGGUGUGCAGAUCGCGGAGGUGUCGUACCUUCGGUACUAGGAUCGGUCGAUCAUGAAGACGUACGACUACAUCAACCACGUUGUCAUAACGCUUCUGUGUACGAUCUAUGAGGGUACAUAGACAACACUCUCCCCUCUCGUUGCUAUGCAUCACCAUGAUCUUGCGUGUGCGUAGGAAUUUUUUUGAAAUUACUGCGUUCCCCAACAGUGGCAUCCGAGCCAGGUUUAUGCGUAGAUGUUAUAUGCAUGAGUAGAACACAAAGGAGUUGUGGGCGUGGGUAUAUACAUAUUGCUUACCGUCACUAGUUGAUUCUUGAUUCAACGACAUUGUUGGAUGAAGCGGCCCAGUUUGACAUUACGCGUAUGCUUACGCGAGACUAGUUCUACCGACGUGCUUCACACACAGGUGGCUACUGGGUGUCUAUUUCUCCAGCUUUAGUUGAAUCAGAUUCAAUGAACAGGGUUCUUUCUGAAGAUCAAAAAGCAAUCACUAUACCGCGUUGUGGUUUUUGAUGCGUAGGUAAGAACGGUUCUUGCUCAGCUCGUAGCAGCCAUGUAAAACUUGCAACAACAAAGUAGAGGACUUCUAGCUUGUUUUUGCAGGGCAUGUUAUGAUGUGAUAUGGUCAAGACAUGAUGCUAUAUUUAUUGUAUGAGAUGAUCAUGUUUUGUAACACAGUUAUCGACAACUCGCAGGAGCCAUAUGGUUGUCGCUUUAUUGUAUGAAAUGCAAUCGCCAUGUAAUUGCUUUACUUUAUCACUAAGCGAUAGCGAAGUCAUAGACGCAAUAGUUGGCGAGACGACAAUGAUGCUUCGAUGGAGAUCAAGGUGUCUAGCCGGUGACGAUGGUGAUCAUGACAGUGCUUUGGAGAUGGAGAUCAAAGGCACAAGAUGAUGAUGGCCAUAUCAUAUCACUUAUAUUGAUUGCAUGUGAUGUUUAUCCUUUAUGCAUCUUAUUUUGCAUAGUUCAACGGUAGCAUUGUAAGAUGAUCUCUCACUAAAUUUCAAGGUAUAAAUAUUCUCCCUGAGUAUGCACCAUUGCUACAGUUCGUCGUGCUGAGACACCACGUGAUGAUCGGGUGUGAUAAGCUCUACGCUCACAUACAACGGGUGCAAGCCAGUUUUGCACACGCAGAAUACUCAAGUUAAACUUGAUGAGCCUAGCACAUGCAAAUAUGGCCUCUGAACACUGGUGACCGAAAGGUCGAGCAUGAAUCAUAUAGUAGAUAUGAUCAACAUAGUGAUGUUCACCAUUGAAAACUACUCCAUCUCACGUGAUGAUUGGACAUGGUUUAGUUGAUAUGGAUCACAUGAUCACUUAGAUGAUUAGAGAGAUGUCUAUCUAAGUGGGAGUUCUUAAGUAAUUUGAUUAAUUGAACUUUAAUUUAUCAUGAAUUUAGUACCUGAUAGUAUUUUUCAUGUCUAUGUUGUUGUAGAUAGAUGGACCGUGCUGUUGUUCUGUUUAAUUUUAACGCGUUCCUACAAAAAGCUAAGUUGAAAGAUGAUGGUGGCAACUAUACGGACUGGGUCCGUAACUUGAGGAUUAUUCUCAUUGCUGCAUAGAAGAAUUACGUCCUGGAAGCACCGCUAGGUGACAAACCCGCUGCAGGAGCAAUGCCAGAUGUUAUGAACACCUAGCAGAGCAAAGCUGAUGACUACUCGAUAGUUCAGUGUGCCAUACUUUACGGCUUAGAACUGGGACUUCAAUGAUGUUUUGAACAUCAUGGAGCAUAUGAGAUGUUACAGGAGUUGAAGUUAAUAUUUCAAGCAAAUGCCCGGAUUGAGAGAUAUGAAGUCUCCAAUAAGUUCUACAGCUACAAGAUGGAGGAGAAUAGUUCUGUCAAUGAACAUAUACUCAGAAUGUCUGGGUACCACAACCACUUGACUCGGCUAGGAGUUAAUCUUCCUGAUGAUAGUAUCAUUGACAGAGUUCUUCAAUCACUGCCACCAAGCUACAAGAGCUUCGUGAUGAACUAUAAUAUGCAAGGGAUGGAUAAGAUGAUUCCUGAGCUCUUCACAAUGCUAAAAGCUGCGGAGGUAGAAAUCAAGAAGGAGCAUCAAGUGUUGAUGGUCAACAAGACCACCAGUUUCAAGAAAAAAGGUAAAGGGAAGAAAGGGAACUUCAAGAAGAACAACAAGCCAGUUGCUGCUCAAGUGAAGAAACCCAAGUCUGGACCGAAGCCUGAGAUUGAGUGCUUCUAGUGCAAAGGGACUAGUCACUGGAAGCGGAACUGCCCCAAGUAUUUGGCGGAGAAGAAGGAUGGCAAAGUGAAAGGUAUAUCUGAUAUACAUUUUAUUGAUCUGUACCUUACUAAUGCUCGCAGUAGUGCCUGGGUAUUUGAUACUGGUUCAGUUGCUAACAUUUGCAACUAGAAACAGGGGCUACGGAUGAAGCGAAGAUUGGCUAAGGACGAGGUGACGAUGCGCGUGGGAAAUGGUUCCAAAGUCGGUGUGAUCGCCGUCGGCACGCUACCUCUACAUCUACCUUCGGGAUUAGUUUUAGACCUAAAUAAUUGUUAUUUGGUGCCAGCGUUGAGCAUGAACAUUAUAUCUGGAUCUUGUUUGAUGUGAGACGGUUAUUCAUUUAAAUACGAGAAUAAUGGUUGUUCUAUUUAUAUGAGUAAUAUCUUUUAUGGUCAUGCACCCUUGAUGAGUGGUCUAUUUUUACUAAAUCUUGAUAGUAGUGAUACACAUGUUCAUAGUAUUGAAGCCAAAAGAUGCCGAGUUGAUAAUGAUAGUGCAACUUAUUUGUGGCACUACCAUUUAGGUCAUAUUGGUGUAAAGCGCAUGAAGAAACUCCAUUCUGAUGGACUUCCGGAAUCACAUGAUUAUGAAUCACUUGGUACUUGCGAACCAUGCCUCAUGGGCAAGAUGACUAAAACUCCGUUCUCCGGAACAAUGGAGCGAGCAACAGAGUUAUUAGAAAUCAUACAUACUGAUGUAUGUGGUCCAAUGAACAUUGAAGCUCGCGGCGGAUAUCGUUAUUUUCUCACCUUCAUAGAUGAUUUGAGCAGAUAUGGGUAUAUCCACUUAAUGAAACAUAAGUCUGAAACAUUUGAAAAGUUCAAAGAAUUUCAGAGUGAAGUGGAAAAUCAUCGUAACAAGAAAAUCAAAUUUCUGCGAUCUGAUCAUGGAGGCGAAUAUUUGAGUUAUGAGUUUGGACUUCAUUUGAAACAAUGCGGAAUAGUUUCACAACUCACACCACCUGGAACACCACAGCGUAAUAGUGUGUCCGAACCUCGUAAUCAUACUUUACAAGAUAUGGUGCGAUCUAUGAUGUCUCUCACUAAUUUACCGCUAUCGUUUUGGGGUUAUGCUUUAGAGACAGCUGCAUUCACAUUAAAUAGGGCACCAUCUAAAUCCGUUGAGAUGACACCUUAUGAACUGUGGUUUGGCAAGAAACUCAAGUUGUCGUUUCUUAAAGUUUGGGGCUGCGAUGCUUAUGUGAAAAAGCUUCAACCCGAUAAGUUCGAACCCAAAUCGGAGAAAUGUGUCUUCAUAGGAUACCCAAAGGAGAUUGUUGGGUACACCUUCUAUCAUAGAUCUUAAGGCAAGACAUUCGUUGCUAAGAAUGGAUCCUUUCUGGAGAAGGAGUUUCUCUCAAAAGAAGUGGGUGGGAGGAAAGUAGAACUUGACGAGGUAAUUGUACCUUCUCCCUUAUUGGAGAGUAGUUCAUCAUUGAAAUCAGUUCCGGUGAUUCCUACACCAGUAAGUGAGGAAGCUAAUGAUGAUGAUCAUGAAACUUAUGAUCAAGUUACUACUGAACCUCAUAGGUCAAUCAGAGUAAGAUCCGCACCAGAGUGGUACGGUAAUCAUGUUCUGGAAGUCAUGUUACUUGACCAUGACGAACCUACGAACUAUGAGGAAGCGAUGAUGAGCCCAGAUUCUGCAAAAUGGCUUGAAGCCAUGAAAUCUGAGAUGGGAUCCAUGUAUGAGAACAAAGUAUGGACUUUGGUCGACUUGCCCGAUGAUCGGCAGGCCAUAGAGAAUAAAUGGAUCUUCAAGAAGAAGACCGACGCUGACGGUAAUGUUACUGUCUACAAAGCCUGACUUGUUGCGAAAGGUUUUUGACAAGUUCAAGGAGUUGACUACGAUGAGACCUUCUCACCCGUAGCGAUGCUUAAGUCCGUCCGAAUCAUGUUAGCAAUUGUCGCAUUUUAUGAUUAUGAAAUUUGGCAAAUGGAUGUCAAAACUGCAUUCUUAAUGGAUAUCUUAAAGAAGAGUUGUAUAUGAUGCAACCAGAAGGUUUUGUUGAUCCAAAAGGUGCUAACAAAGUGUGCAAGCUCCAGCGAUCCAUUUAUGGAUUGGUGCAAGCCUCUCUCCUCCUUCCCUCUCUCCUACUCCUACUCUUGGAAGGGUUGGAGUCCUACUCCUGGUGGGAGUAGGACUCCCCUUGGGGCGCGCCUAGGAGGGCCGGCCUCUCCCCCUCCUCCACUCCUUUAUAUAUGGGGAGGGGGGCACCCCAUAGACACACAAGUUGAUCAUUGAUCUUUUAGCCAUGUGCGGUGCCCCCCUCCACCAUAAUCCACCUCGGUUAUAUCGUAGCGGUGCUUAGGUGAAGCCCUGUUCUGGUAGCAUCAUCAUCACCGUCAUCACGCCGUCGUGCUGAUGAAACGCUCGCUCGAAGCUCUACUAGAUCGUGAGUUCGCGGGACGUCACCGAGCUAAACGUGUGCAGAUCAUGGAGGUGUCGUUCCUUCGGUGCUAGACCGGUCGAUCGUGAAGACGUACGACUACAUCAACUGCGUUGUCAUAACGCUUCCACUUACGGUCUACGAGGGUACAUAGACGAUACUCUUCCCUCUCGUUGCUAUGCAUCACCAUGAUCUUGCGUGUGCGUAGGAAUUUUUUGGAAUUACUGUGUUCCCCAACACUAAUAAUGGCAGUAAUUGCCCCAUGGACCGAACCCUUCUUGGCCUACCUUAAUAGGCGAGAGCUCCCCGAGGAUCAGAAUGAGGCUCGAUGCGUCGGUCGACAUUCGAAAGCCUACAAGCUUCAUGAAGGAGAGCUCUACAAGAAGAGCGCUACCGGAAUACUUCAAAGAUGUAUCUCCGAAGAAGAAGGACGACAACUCCUAGCUGAAAUCCAUGCUGGUCUUGGAGGUCACCACGCCGCGGCUAGGGCUCUUGUAAGCAAGGCCUUCCACACCGGUUUCUUCUGGCCAACGGCCCGAGCAGAUACACAUGACCUUGUCCAACGUUGUGUGGGAUGCCAGCUUUUCGCCAUUCAAAUCCAUAUGCCGCCUACCGCCUUAUAAACAAUCCCCAUUACUUGGCCUUUCACGGUCUGGGGGCUUGAUAUGGUCGGACCCCUUAAAGGGGGAAGCCAUAAGAAAAAUAUCUGCUGGUCAUGGUAGAUAAAUUCACUAAGUGGAUAGAGGCCAAACCAGUUAAAACGGCCGAAGCCGGACCCGUGAUAGACUUUAUAUCCGGUGUCGUACACCGUUAUGGUGUCCCACACAGCAUCAUCACCGAUAACGGCUCCAACUUUACAGCCGACGAAGUGAAAACAUGGUGUGCUAAACUGGGCAUCAAGCUCAAUUAUGCCUCUGUCUAUCACCCCCAAACAAAUGGUCAAGUCGUACGAGCCAAUGAUCUUAUCAUGAGCGGCAUUAAGCCUAGACUAGUACGGUCUUUAAAAGAGUCAGACAAACACUGGGUCGAGGAGCUCGACUCCGUACUCUGGGGCUGCGGACCACGCCCAAUCGCACUACCGGUUACACACCAUUCUUCAUGGUGUACGGCGUAGAGGCUAUUUUGCUCUGCGACAUCAUUCAUGACUCACCUCGAGUGCGCAUGUACCAAGAGAGUGAAGCCGAGCUUGAUCGGCAGGACAGUCUAGAUGCCCUGGAGGAGGAGCACGAUGUUGCAAAAGCCCGUUCCUCAUUCUAUCAACAAUAAGCUCACAUACCAAAGCAGAGAAGUGCGGUCCAAGACUUAUAAUGUCGGUGAACUCGUUCUACGCUUGCCAGAUAAGAAAAAGGGCAAACUCAAGCCCAAGUGGGAAGGUCCCUUCAUUAUAGAUGAAGUUCUCACUAGAGGUGCGUAUUGUCUGCGUGAUGCAUCGGAUAAUCGCUUAGAGCAGAACCCGUGGAAUGCCGCCAGACUCCAAAGAUUCUACUCCUAGAGCCGGAGUCAUUGUUCAUUUUAUUUUUCUCCUCUUUUCAGUUUCUCUCUCUUUAAAUUUUUUUCUUUAGCUUUAUAGCUCUUGUGCGGCUAGACCGCACACUUAUGAGGUACACAUCCUUAAAUGUAUAUACCCAUAAUACCUAGGGGCUUCUUUUAUAGAAGCUUAUUAUUAUUAUUCGAGCACCAAGCUCACCACAUAUGUGUCCUUUUAUCACAUAUACCUUUUCUUCGUCAUUAUAUGCACCUUUAUGACUUAAGUUUUUGCCAAGCUGGAUUGCCUGGCUCCUGUGUUUAUGCCCUACGUUCCCGUUUGUUCGGUUAGGGCAUAAAGGGAGCACCUCUGCGAUUGUUACAACCGGGUCAUACGGACUUGUACCUCAGACUGGGUGAAGCCGAAAACUAGCGUUCUUAAGGGAAUAAUCGGUCGGCGGACUAAAGACGUUUUACCUUUGUUGGACCACGAACCCCCAUAUAUUAUAUAUAUUGUGAUUUUUUUGAAUCACAGUUUAGGCAUGCACACUAAUGCAUGUUCUCCCAGGGAAAGGAACCCUUAACAGAACUAUUCUCUUUGGAAGAUGUUUCUUACAAUCAAUAAGUAAUAUAACAUAGCUAGCCAAAUACAACUUGUCUGUUCAAGCAACUAUGACCCCUACGUCUGGUUUCCACGCAUGCCUCGGUAUUUAUCACCGGUCUGGUAUUCGGAAACACUCUGCACCUUCGAGACCGGAGGUCGAAGCGAAAAUGUCAGCCAUGACAAUCGUUUUACAAUUCGGCUAGGGACAAAUUUGUCAAUUGGAGUACAUAUUCACUUGGACUCAAAAGCUUCUUCCUCUAUACCAUCUAACAGGCUGUCUAGCUCAAUCAUGUUGUGAAAACUUGGCGGCUAUCUUUACUUGGUCAUAUACCAAGCUCACUAGAAUCUCUUGUCCAUCUGACCCCCGAGGUCCGACCCGGGUCAUAUGAUUCGGGUCUAGUCCGGUGUACCGCGUUUUCACCAUGGCCCAGGCCUCUCGUGCGCCUUCCCGGCAAGCCGAUAUCUUCCAUAAUCUAAGGCGGCGCCGAGCUCCCUUGAAUAGCUUCACAAGCUCCUCCAUACUUUUUGGAGGGGAUGCGGAUGGCCAUAAAGCCUUGGCAACACUACGCAUCGCUUUCCGAGCUCUCUCGUGCACUUGUGACAGCUCUUGUAGCAGAUCGCCUUGAGCUCCGGACAUUUCCUCUUCGGGUCGGCCAGUCAGCAUACCUGCAGACACAAAUCUGUUAACUCAUUUUUUACCACACUACACGAAGAUAAGUUCAAAAUCAUACUGAAUAUGCCGCCCCGUAGCUUCCUGUUCUCUUUUACGGCGUCCACUAGCUGGGCUCGCACGUCUUUUAGCUCUUCGCCCAGCAGGGUGUUGGAAUCCUGCAGCUUGUUCUUAUCAUACCUGGUCCGUGUCAAUACACGCUCGCCAACGGCCAAUUGUUUUUUGGCCUGAUGUUUACCCGCCUGUGCGACCAUCACUUCCUCUUUCAGUUGAUCUAACGAUCCUGCCAUGGGAAAUACAAUAGUGUUAACAUUACUGGUGUAUAUGAUUAAUAUUUUUCUGGAUGGAGGAGAACAUUACCAGGUGGUGCCUCCUUGGAUUUCUCUAGUUCGGCGGUAGCAACAGCUAGCUGGGUCCGACACUUUUCCAGCUCAUGAGGCAACAUGUUGUUCUUCUCCAUGAGUGCAUGAUUAUACAAUAAUCCUUAAAUUGGUUGUUUCAACUUCUUCAAGUCUUGGGGGCUACUGGUGUAUGAUUACCAGUUCUGUACAAUGCAUGCUUACCCGCAUAUCUUUCAAAUGCUGGUCAGUGGCUCUGGCAAGCCAUCCCAAGCAGCUUGGAUGUACGCAUCAGCCGAGCUGAAGUCAUCAAACGCCUCUUUAGUAAAGCUGGGGUCAUGAAGAGUGGCCCUCCAUCGCCAAUGAUUCAUGGCGCUCUCUACUUUAGACUUCGUGACAGAUACAUCAUCCGAAUCCUCUGAAGGAGGACAAGCCGGCGUCACUCCCGUGUCAGCCCCCGCCCUAGAGGCAGGGUCUGGAACCUGAUUGGUGGAGGUGCGACCGACAGGAUCCCCGGACAUAGUCCGGCAAACACACUUCCUGAUAAAACACGGCAGACAAUGUCACAGUUCGAUGUGACUGCCAGGAGGCGUAUUCAAAGCCAUACCUCUUUGAUGAAGGCUCGGCCGAGUUGUCAUUUUCCUUCCUCUUCGAAGAUCAGCCCGAUGCAGGCGCCGCUCUCUUAUGAGACGCCUCUGGUGUAGCAUGGCGCACCGAGCGCCUCCCCUUUGGAGCACGAGACAGUGCGGUGGGUGAGGCAUAAUGAGGAAGCUCUUUCGGAGGAGAUGCCUCCUGACUACUUACUCCCUCCGUCCGUGAAUAAGUGUACCUAGCUUUUAUCUUAAGUCAAAGUUUUAAAACUUUGACCACCUUUCUAGAAAAAAGUAAAAGCAUUUAUGACACCAAAUUAGUAUCACUAGAUUCGUUUUGAAAUGUAGUUUGAGAAUAUAUCAAUUUGAUGCCAUAUAUGUUACUACUAUUUUCUAUAAAGUUGGUCAAAAUUUUAAAACUUUGAAUUAGAACAAAAUCUAGAUGUACACUUAUUCACGGACGGAGGGAGUACAUAUGAGGCAGGAAGGAGGCCAGGAUAAUCAACCAUGAUGGCCACUUCUGUGCCAUCAUAGCUCGCCUGGUAGAAGACUCCCUCCUUGAGCUCUACAAAUAUGUCUGGAUCCUCUUCGAAUCCGGUAUCGAGGGCCCGGUUGUGGUUCUCUGGCUGUGGAGCAGUGCUAUGGAUCCCCGCGAUAACCUUCCGCCAUUCCUGUCAAAAAUGGACGGGUUAAUGUCAAUUAAACAUGACUCAAGGAGAGGAUUGAGUAAGGUGGUGGGAUUAAAACUUACCCAGUUAGGGGGAUUGUACAUGGAGAAUCCCUCUUGGUGCUUAAGACGAGUAAAUUCCUCUUUAUCCCUUUUGUACAGAUCAGCCAAUAUUGUGGCCAGGGCGGCAGGGGUGUCCAGGUCCUUUCGUCCGCAGUGUGAGGCGUCAUCUUCCCCGUUGUAAUGCCACAUAGGGAUCCCUCUGAAUUGGAGUGGCUGAACACCUCGCGCUAUGGAAGUCGCCAUUACCUCGAUUAUUGAUAAUACGGACUGGGCGAGUGUCCUUAUCUUGCCCAUUAAUUGUUGAACUUUCGUGCUAUCUUCCUCCUCGAGGCUCCAAGGGCGCCAGCUGUGGUGUUUCCUCAAUGGAGCGCUGGAAAAUUCGGGAAGGCCCAUUCGUACUGGGUCGGGGAGAGCGACAUCUUCAAUAUAAAACCACUCCGUGGGCCACUCUUCGGACACCUUCUUCGGCGUGCCGGACAGGUAUCCGGUCCCGGCUAUAUGCCAUAUCUCGGCACCGCCCACCUCGAAUAUAGAUCGCUUUUGGGAGCGAGGGGUGAGGCAGAAAAGCUUCCACCAUAAGCUCAAAAUGGGACAUGCAGUCUAGGAAUAGCUCACAAAGAGUAACAAAACCCGUAAUGUGCAGGAUAGAGGCCGACGUAAGAUUAUGCAGUUGUUGGCCAUAGUACUCCAGGAGACCUCGGAGGAAGGGGUGGAUUGGAAAUCCGACACCUCUUAAUAAAAAAGAGACGAAGCACACUCGUUCCCCCUUGGUUGGAUUGGGGAAAUUUUCUGCCAAGGUUUCGCCAGUAAAAGGGGUUAAUCCUGCUCGAACGGGGACUAGAUCCGCGGGGGAAGGAAUCCCUGCGUUUGGAGCUUAACCAGAUGGUCAUACGAUACUGAACAUCUCUCCCAAUCACCUUUUUCGGAGCCAUGAAGGCGGGAGGAGGAACCGGGAGCGCUAGCCAUGUUUGAACGGUUUCUCCUAGCGAGCUCUAAGGAUUUUCUGCCUGGUGUGGAAUGGCAUCUGAUAUCCAAUCCCUUUAAAUAGAUGCCUUUUUACAUGGCCGGGGUAUUAUGUGCAAAAAAUACUCUGACCUUUUGUAUUCGCUCGACACGUGGAAGUGGAAGCAACGGAGGCGCAGAAGCUGAAGGAUAUGACAUUAAAUGAAAAAUCCAAGUAUAACUCUUCGAGUCAGAUGCUUUGAAGUAUUUGGAGGAGGAACCCAAAUUGCAAUGCCGAAGACAAUCUGCGCGUCAGACACAUCGUCAUUGAAGCCUGGUUCGGGGGCUACUGAGGGAGUCCUGGAUUAAGGGGGCGGCGGGCGUCCGGGCUAUAUGAUGUGGGCCGGACUAAUGGGCCGUGAAGAUACAAGACAGAAGACUUCCUCCCGUGACUAGAUGGGACUCUCCUUUACGUGGAAGGCAAGCUUGGCGUUCAGACAUGAAGAUUCCUUCCUCUGUAAACCAACUCUGUACAACCCUAGGUCCCCCCGGUGUCUAUAUAAACCGGAGGGUUUAGUCCGUAGAGGCAAUCAUAAUCAUACAGGCUAGACGUCUAGGGUUUAGCCAUUACGAUCUUGAGGUAGAUCAACUCUUGUAAACCCCAUAUUCAUCCAAGAUAAUCAAGCAGGAAGUAGGGUAUUACCUCCAUCAAGAGGGCUCGAACCUGGAUAAACAUCGUGUCCCUGUCUCCUGUUACCUUCGAUCCUCAGACGCACAGUUCGGGACCCCCUACCCGAGAUCUGUCGGUUUUGACACCGACACCAAGCUCAACUAAUUAGCCAGAGUUGUCCAAUGUUGAGCCCGACAACACUAGGGGUGGUGCUCAGGGAGGGUCUGACAGACCCACCAGCACCCGAGCCCACGAAGGAGAGGAAGAGACCGGCGACGAGAAAAUCCAAUAAAGCUGCCAAUGUUGGUUCUAGCAGCCAGUCGCCUUCGACCAAGGUUUACAGUGUACCGAUGAAACAUGCGCCAUUAUAAUACAUGUCGCGGGAAAGCCAAUGGUACCGGCGAAUGCGCUAGCUGCCAUAACAGGGGAUCUCAGGAGACUCCAUGACCAUGUGCUUUCGACAGAGAGAAGCCUCCUCGCCUCGGAUGAUCCUGGAUACCCACUUUAUACAGUUCAUGUGCCGAGCAGUUGCAAGAUGUACAUCCACACAUGCCCCGUGGACCUCUUCUUCCUACGAUUUAAUUACAUCUUUCAGAUGUUUCUAGUGAGGACACUCGAUUUUACGUUCGUCCGCCUGUAUGUGCUACAUCUGAACUACAUCGUCAAGAGAGAGCAAGUCACUGGUGUUGCAGUUGCGGACCCAUACUACAUGCAUGAGGGCUUCUUGUCAAUCAACGAAGCCAACCGUCAAUACGCGAGUCAAUACAUCAAAGAAUUCUUGGUCAGCAAUAAGGAAAAAGAAACGAUUCUCCUACCUUAUCAUCUCGGGUAAGUCAUCCACGGAUAGCCACUAUAACACACACAUCCUUUCAUGCAUUUCAAUAAUUACUUUGCACGCAUGGAGGCUAACUUGAUCAUGUAUUUUGCGCAGCAGGGGGUGUCAUGCCGUUCUCAUUGUUCUUUACCCGCAUUACUCCCGCGCUCUAUAUUUGGACCCGUCGAAGAACAUACAGAAGAAAUAUUACACACACAUAAAGUAUGUUCAGGACAAAGCUCUCCUGGGCUUCAGUUUGCGGGGUGGCUACAUCCAAUGAAAAAAAAGACCGGGAUGUGUUUCGGCCACAAGACAGACUUUUGUUGCAUCCAGCAACCGGCAAGAAGUGACAAUGAUGGAUUCUACGUCAUCCAUCUAAUGAUGGAGUACAGCAGGUAUGUGCAAUCACUUUGCAUGAAAUCUUCAUCCGAUACCCAUAUCCAGAGAUGGGCCGAAGCCUUUGGAACCGUGCCGAAUAAUCGACUUCGAAAUGAUUUCUACCGGAUCCAGCAGGAAAUUGCAUCCAUCAUCAUGAAAGAUGUCCUCAAAGAGAAUAGAAUGUUCUACGAUGGCCCAAUAUCACGAGCCGACGUCCGAACCCGCAUAGCCCUACAGCGUCAGGACAUGACGCCUUUCACUAAGCUUGGGUGCACCCUCCCGGAUAUGGACAGAUGGGACGAGUGCACUACUUAAAAACAAUGUGUCUGUUUAGUUACUUGUAACUUUCUGUACGGCAAAACUUCGAAUGUCUUAGUACGGCGAAACUAUUAGAUGUAAAUGGUACCGCGCUCUAGUUAAUUAGUUUUGGUAUGAUGAAUUUUGUUAACUAUGUUUACUAUAUAUGUUGCUUCUAUUUCAUAACUGUUUCUCCCCAUAGGCCGGCUUAUCUUAUGCUACAUAUUAUCGUUGAAUUCGCUUCAUGAUAUGUGUGUGUGUGCGUGCACACGCGCAUCUCUAACAGGUAUAUAGAUCAACGAUGGCGAGGAAGUGGUAUGCCGUGUAUGUAGGGCAUGUUCCGGGUGUGUACGAUGAGUGGCCAGAGUGUCAGGCCCAAGUGUACCGCUUCUCGGGCGGAAGCCAGAAAGAGUUUGAUAGCAGAGCAGAAGUCGAAGAUAAUUACUUGAGAUUCAUAGCACAACAGGGGAUUCAGAAUCAGCGCUGCAAAAACUACAUAAUACCGAUUUUGCUCAUCGUGAUCGCUCUUAUCUCGUAUGUCAUAGUUUAGGUAGAUGAUGAAACUUGUGUCUGCGGUGACAAUGUAAGAGACAUGUGAUCAUUAACUUCUAUCGCCAUUUCAAGAUGAUGAUGAUAUUGACAUCAUUUGUGUUCGAUAAUGAUGAUAUGAUGAGACUAUGUUGUACCACUUCGAUGAUGAUGAUGAGACAUUCUUUUUUCAUAUAGUUUCAGUGUAUGUGUAUGUUGUAAUUGUAUAAAACCUGUAAAAUAUGAAUACAAAAAAAAGAAAAAUAAAAUACUAGCUGUAGCGAGGGGUUUUAUAAUAGCAGCAGCCGCGCUGCCUUACCAGUAGCGUUGGUGGUAGAGGCGCGCUACUAGUAUUAGUAGCAGUGAUGGUCAGAAGCGCACUACUACUAGAUAUAGGUAGCGGUGGCGCUGGGUAAGAACCACACUACUGUAGCGCGGUAGCAGUAGCGCAGGCACCAGCGCUAGUGAUAGCCAAAAAAAUCCACGCUACUAGUAGCCUUUUUCCUAGUAGUGUCAUGAAGAAAAUUUUGAGCUAAAAAUAAAAUUUACUAAUUAGACAUGCAUGACCUUGGUAUUAAGAAUGAUGGCUUGCAUAAUUUUUGGAUCGUGUGCUGACACACAUAUCCAUUUAAAAAAAGAACAAUAUUUAUAGGGAUUUCUAUUUCUAUGCCCCCUCCUUCCUUACCUGUGCUCAGUUUUUCCCAACCCUCUAAUUUUUGCUCACUUUUUCCCUCCACCACUCGCCUUGUGCUCACAAAGAUCCAAAUUUGGAGCCUUUCCCUAUGGUCAAGGCAGUUGAUUGUUAUCUUCUCAAUUGACUGACGCGUGGGGACGAAGAUAUUAGGACAGGUGGGCAACAUAUGACAGGUCGACCGUGGCGGUGACAACUUAUGACGAGGGGGACCUAGCUCGUUGACCUAUCACUUUCUUUUGCCUAAAUUAGCCUGACCCAGGUGAGCCGCCGCAUCCCCCAUCCAGUCCCACGCCACUGCCGCCUUGCCCACUCGUAGCCCCACCGCCCGAUCCGCACAUCGCCGGCCACUCGGACUGUCUUCCUGAGCUCCGAUGGUGCAGCCUCAUGGUUCUAAUGGGCAACCCUUCCUUCCAUAUGCCGGAUCCAUUGGAGAUCAUUAGCCGACUGGUACAUUUGUAAUCAAAACCCUAGCAAUUAGGAUUCAGUUAUUAGUCGAUUGAAUGGGUGAUUGAGCGAUUAAAUUGUCAUGCAUCGAGUUGCUGCAGUUAGCAAUUAGUGUGGAUGUCUACUUAGGAUUGAAUUCCUGCCAGGGUUACUAGUGGCAGGCUGGCGGCUAGUUUUGAAAUGAAACCCUAGAAAAUAGGUUUUCCUAAAUGGAGGCCAUUUUAGAUUGUUUUGUGGUGAAUUUGAUCCAAAUCCUAUUGGUUUUAGUUCUUUGAUUUUCAAUUGGUGUUUGAUUGAUGGCAAACAACUCGUAGCUAGAAGAGGGCGAUGGAUUUCUUUUGCGCCACGGAUGAGCUUUUGCUGGCCAAGUGCAAGGAGAUAUGCUGAUGGUUUUUUAGCGUGAAAUCUCUCGUGAUACACGCGCUGGGUGUGGUGUUGGAAGUUAUGACGAACGAGCGGAUGCGUUUACUUCCUAAAGGCAAGGGGGCAGUCCCAAUUGAUAUUCUCCUGUGGGCAAUGGCAGAGUCUCCAGAUCAUCGACAGCGAGCCCGCUGGUACGAGUAUCGCUCCCGCCUCUCCUUGCCGAAUCCAGAGGCGAAAGGGCCGGUGAAUUUGCGUAUUAUCCAGGACGUCGACGAGGUGAUGGAGGAGGAUGAAGAAGAGGUGAGCUACCAGGGGGUUGCAGAUCAUCACACAGGGGUCUUCACAAGAGGAGGGCUAUUGAUAUUCUCCUGUGGGCAAUGGCAGAGGCAAUGGAGUCUCCAGAUCGUCAACAACGAGCCCGCUGGUACGAGUACCACUCCUGCCUCUCCUCGCCAAAUCCAGGGGAGAAAGGGCCGGUGAAUUUGCAUAUUAUCCAGGACGUCGACGAGGUGACUGAGGAGGAGGAUGAAGAAGAGGUGAGCUAGCAGGGGGUUGCAGAUCAUCACACAGGGGGCUUCACAAGAGGAGGGCUAUCAGGGGGGGUCGAGAUCAUAGCACAGGACGAGGAUCCAGAAGAGUAGGGCUAUCAUGGGGGUCCAGAGAUCAUCACUCAUCUUGCUCAUGCUGAAAUGAAUCUAGCGAUUAAUUUGGAAGACGAGGAUAAGCAGAAGGUUGAUCAGGAGCACUUGGAGGCUGAUGCCGGCAAUGAUCUGGCGAUGGUCACCAUGGAGGGCAAUACUGGCGGCAAGAAUGCCUUGAUAGUUGUGGAGCAGUACGAGGUCUCGAUGAAGUUUGAGCAGAAUGUUCAACGCCUACUUGCCAUUUGGCUCGCCAUCUCAGGCAUCUCCAACCCCUUCUAGCUAGUGUUGAGGAUCCUACAUGUGAUGUCCAUUUAACUGCAAACAAUAUGCCAUGUUUAAUUAAUAGUUGUAUGCUAUGUUUUGGAUUUUCUACAUUCAGUGGGUUUUGCAUGUUCAAACAUAGUGCAACACGCAAAAUUUGCCAAAAAUAGCAACAUGCAGAACUUAUCAAAAAUAGUAUCAUGGAAAACUUACUUUAAAUGGAGUCGAACUUGCAAUGUUGACUUUUUCAAGACUUGUUGUAUUGCAAGUUUAUGAUUUUUCCCACCUUAGUUCACACAAGAGGGCUUCAUGCAGAAGGAUUAUAAUUUUUGAGGAUUUUUUCAUUUUCUUUGAUUUUUCUGAAAAUGGGGCAAAAUUUGAAAUGUAGAACCUUGGUAUGAAAUAUUUCAGAAUUUCAACUUUGAUUGUCCCAAGUGGAUGCACCACCAACAGGCUUGAUGAAACGGCAUGAACGAGUAGAAACAACUCCUUCGAUUAUAACCCCCCAACUUAGUUUUUAUCGACCAACUGGGUUACCAGGAACAUAUUGGAUGAACGUUAGCACAAUAAAUUAAACUGUCCAGAAAACUCUUUCAGAACAAUUGAGCAGAAUCUUGACGUAUGGGUUUCGAGUGUUAUUGUGAGUAGCCGUCUAGCAUGGAAGAUGGAAAUAGAAACAUUUGGACCAAAAGCAUGACAACUUCAUUCUCAUGCAAAGCUCCACAAAACAAGUAAGAUUUCACAAAGACAAAGCAAAGCUCCCAUGAAACAUGUAAGAUUUCAGUGUCAAUAGAAUAUGCCACUUUACACCAAUCUAGGCAUUUCAGGUAACAGAGCAAACACAAAAUACUUUCACACUAUGCUAGGCAUUGCAUCGCAGUCCUGACCUAGGCCUUUAUUAUACUUCCUCAUGGAUAAGUAGUUCUUAUGGUUCCUUUCCCUCUCCAUCUUCAGAGAAAGUUGUGGGACAAAUCAAUAAAAUGUUGGGUCAGUGUGGUUAAACCAACAAAAAAAAGGCACGUCCAUCCCACUUGUAUGAUGCAAAACCAGUGGUAUCUCCAAAAAUGGAAAAAUAAAAUGUGAGAACAUAAGAAAAACAAUGAUCUAAAAAACAGUGGAUUGAAUGUGGCAUACCAACAUGAAAAUAUUAUCCCACUAUUUCAACCUAUGUUAAGGGUACUAUAGUUGUCUAGAAACAGUCCAUUUACUUGAAGAGUGCUAGAAAUGCACAAACAAUUUCAUAACAUUGCAUAAGGUGUCAACUUUGAAAUACCAGUUACACCGGCAAGCUGACCUGCUACCACAUUUAAAAUGUUUAAGCAAAAAACACAAAUGUUUUAAAAAGUGGCAGAGAAAGCGCUCCAGCUCCACCUAGCAACUAGACCACUGCCUAGCAUUUCUAGGCAUUUCACAAAAAAAAGAGCCAAGUGUAUAUAUACUUCAUUAUACACUGUAAAAUUUUAAGUUUGACAAGGAUGAGUACUUCAAUCAGUCAGAUAUUUACUAGACACAGUUUCCAUACAUCUCCCACUUAUCCUCUUCACUACCCACUAUUCCUGUCCUGCAAAGUAGGCAGUAGCAUGCAAGAAAGCACUGAAUAAGUAUUGGGAACACGGACCGGUGCUGUGCAACUGACACACUAAAGCAGCAAAAAGCAGGAAAAAAACACCUUUUUGAAUGCUUAAGCAUCCAGGCACUUAAAAGCAAUCGCUUAGAUGAAAGACCUUAGGCGCAGCUUUUUAAACACUAAACUACCAAGGUAACUUUAACAUAACAUCUGCUAUCAAGAAACUAACAAGACUAGUGCAGUCACUACUAUCAUUUGGAACAAAAGUCUUCAAAAGAUCCCGCUAUUUCAACCUAUGUUAGGGGUAAUAACAGACCUUUUACAUGAAAAGUGCUAGAAAUGCACAAUUUCAUAAAAGUGCACAAGGAGUGAACUUUGAAUUAACAAUUACACCAGCAAGCAGAAUUGCUACCACAUCCAAAAUGUUUAAGCAAAAACCACCAAUACUUAACAAACCGUAGAGAGAAUCAAGCGCUCCAGCUCCACCUAGCAGGCUAGCACCCACGCGCUGCCUAGUGUUUCUAGGCGUUUUACAGAGAACAGAGCAAAGUGUAUAUACUCUUCAUUAUAAACUGUAAAUGUUUUAGUUUGAGAAGGAUGAAUGUUUCGAUCAACGAUAUAUUUACUAAAUAUAGAGUUUCCAUACAUGGCACUUCUCCUCCUCCUCUAUCACUACCCAUUGUUCCUGUUGUCAUGCAGGAGACAGUAGCAUACAAGAAUCACUGAAUAAGUAUUGGAAACAUGAAUCGGUGACACACUAAAGCAACAAAAAGUAGGGGGAAAACCCUUUCGGAUUAAGCACUUAAAAUCCAUGGCCCCAUAGCCCUUGGGCGCAGACUAAUCUGCUAAGGUAACAGUCAGUCCUAUCGUCAGAAACAACACUCUUCAAAACAAGAGUAAACAGUCGUCGAAAUAAGACUCUUCAAAAGAAGACCUGCCCCUCCAGUCACCUAGUUUAACCUAGAUAAUCAAAAAUAUAUAUCUUAUGAUGGGUUCCCAAAUAAAACAGUCACCUAGUAUAAGAUGCUGACAUAGACCGCAGUGAGUAGCAUUGGUGAUGGUAUAUCAACAUGGGAGCAUGACAACACCUGGAGGUGAUGCGCACGGAUCUUGCCGGGAGUUGAGACAUAGGAUGAGUGGUUCGCGGUUGCUGUACGCCUCCCGCAGCGCCGCCUUUUUCUUCUUCACCAUCUCUGCGAGAAAAGGUUGGCUGAACAACCCAGAUAGAUUAAAUUUUGCUCGGUUAGUUAGAAUCAAUUAAAUUCCCCAAGAUAGACAUACACGCAAGCGAGCGAACAAGAGAGAGGGCGCGCACACAUCUCGGAGGGGACACCGUUGGUGACCUUGGCUGCCCUAAGUUCCUUCAGCUUCGCCUUUAGCUCCUUAAGUUGCACCCUAAGUUCCGCCCGCUUGACCGGGUCUGCCGCACAACAACGGAGGCGUCAGAUCCACAAGAAACUAGUAAGGACGGACGCAGUGAUGCUUACCCAUGGCGUCAGGGGCAAAGCGGAGGCGGCGGCGGAGCGGGGUGGAGGCUGUGCGCGAAGGCAACUGAUCGACUGCCGGCGGCGGGGGAGGCUUAUAUAAGUAAGAUAGAAGGGAAUACAAAACCAUAGAUUGAGGCGCAGUGUGGGCUGAAUUGGUUGGUCACCUAGGGUAGAGUUUUCCCCUCACGUUAGGGUUUCCUUCUCCUGGUGGCGAUCCUGCGCCGCCGUCGAGCGUUCUCCUUCCCUCCUCCGAUUCUUCCUGCAUGACGGAUCCGGGUCGACCUCGGGGGGAUCCCAGCAUCCCCUCCCGACCUGGGUUUCAUCCCCCUGCUAGGACGGGAGAGUUAGGGUUAAUUUACAAGGCCCAAUCGUUUUCUUUCUCGGGCUAGGGUUCAAGUUUGGUGCGGCGAUGGGAUCAAGGACCAACGAGGCGUCGGGUUCCUGCUCCGCAUCAGAGGUGGAGAAGAUGAUGGCUGAGCUAGGGCUUCGCGACGAAGACCUAGAUGACGUUGUUUUUGAUGAGAAAGCUGCACCACCGGAGGCAGCGAGGUGGAUGGCGGUGGCUAGAGUUCACAUAGAUAAGUCGUACAGUCAAUAUUGGUUCUUCAAAAACAUGCGGGCUGCGUGGGAUCUAGCACGCGAUGUCAAAUUCUGCCCGCUUGAGGAUAAUCUGUAUACUCUGCAGUUCUUUUGCUUGGGUGACUGGGAACGAGUGAUGCAAGAAGGACCAUGGAAUUUCAGGGGUAACGCCGUCAUCAUCACACCAUAUGACGGCAUCACCAAGCCAACUGAAGUGAAGCUAGACACCCUUGAUAUAUGGAUACAGAUCCACGAUGUACCUGACUUAUAUGCACAUCUGGUUGGGCCUUUAGCUGCAAAAGUCGGGGAAGUUUUGUUCACUGAGACAAUGACUCAAGACUUUGCUGGAAACUUCUAUUGUGUAUGGGUCAAGAUCAACGUUAAUAAUCCCCUGAAGGAUGCGGUCUCUAUGAUUCGUGAUGGCAAGCGUCAGAUAUACCGUGUGAAAUACGAACGCUUGCCGGAUUGGUGUGCUAUGUGUGGCCAUCUUGGGCAUGUCUACAAGGAGCACGGCAGUGGUAUUCACCCCCCAUCGGCGCUGUACUUUAAGAAUCUCAGAGCUGAAUGGAACAUGCAUGUUGGUGCAGGCCCGGGGGUAGGGCGAGGAAGAGGACGCAGCGGCGGCCGCCGGGGUGGACGUGCUAGGGGGGGAAGAGCCGAAGAUGGAAAACCCAACGAUGCAGACUCUGAGCUGCCGCUAAAUGCCGAUGAGGAUGCAAUAAUGAAGGAAGUGGAGGAGAGCAGGAAACGCACUUCUCAUCCAUCAGGAGAUCCUGGAUUAACUAGCUCUUCGGCCUCCCUUCCCAGUCUGGUUUCUUCAGAAAGUAUGGUGAAUCCAUUGGCGAUUGUUCCGGCAGGAGCUGCGAUGGUGAGUCCUCCUCCAAAGAGAGACCCAAAGAGGACUAGGCUGGAAGAUGAUGGAUCAUAUGGACAAAGUGUAGCAGUGAAGAUGUUGGCGGGCUCCUUCGAGGAGCGCCGCCGGGCCCAAUGAAUGCAUUAUGUUGGAACUGUCGUGGUUUGGGCAAAGCCGCGACGGUUCGAGAAAUUCGUGAUUUCGCGAAUAAGUUUGCCCCUACCCUAAUGUGUAUUGUAGAAACUCAGAUUGAUGGAACUAGGGUAGAAGCAUUAGCUGGCUCGUUUGGAUAUGAUAAUGGAUAUGCUAUUGAUAGUCAAGGUAGAAGUGGCGGCAUCGGUGUUUUUUGGAACAAUGAAAUAAAGCUUGAGAUUUUAGGUUACUCAGUGUAUCAUAUUGAUUGCUCUGUGACAGAACCAGGCAUGGAUCCGUGGAGAUUAACUAUAGUGUAUGGAGAAGCUCAAACACACCUCAGAUCACAAACAUGGGACACUCUCAAGAAUCUGAGCAAUUCCAAUAAUCUCCCUUGGAUUUGUCUAGGAGAUUUCAAUGAGGUUUUGAGGCCCGAUGAGCACGUCGGGAUUGGACAGAGAAGCAACGCACAAAUUCAAGCGUUUCGAGAUACCGUGGACGUCUGCAGUUUAAUGGAUAUUGGCUUCUUUGGACGGCCUUGGACUUUCGAGAAGUGAGGGGAGGGACGUACACUCGUGUAUGCCUAGAUCGGGCCCUAGCCACGACAGAGUGGCGUACUCUGUUUCCUAUGGCUGACCUGUCACACUUAACAACAACCACCUCUGACCAUUGUCCAAUUUUAUUGAACUUAAACAGAGAGGAGAUGGUGGCUCGGCCACCCCGAACUUUUCGAUAUGAGGUUAUGUGGGAGGGCCACUCGGACUGGGGAGAGACGAUCGAUACAGCACGGUUACAGAAGGGUGUGAGCACAACGGUGGAACAACUCAAGGAUAAGUUGCAUGCGAUAUCAAAUGACUUAGGGCGCUGGGACAGAAACACCUUUGGUUGUGUCCGUAAGGAGAUCAAGGACCUGAAGAAGGAACUUGUUAAACUUCAGUCAGACCCCAAUCGUACGGCACCAACCCAUGUUGAGCUCAAGAUAAAUGAGAAACUGGUGGAACUCUAUCACCGUGAGGAAUUGAUGUGGAGGCAAAGGUCCAGAAUUUAGUGGCUAACGUCGGGCGACAAGAACACAAACUUUUUUCAUUUGAGAGCAAGUAUAAGGAGGAAGAAGAACAUGAUAAAAGCUUUGCAAAACUCUCUUGGUGUGAUUUCUGUUGAUCCCCACGAACUAAAGGUCAUGGUCCAAAACUUCUAUACAUCUCUGUACACGGCUGAAGGUACUCACAAUAUGAAUGUGGUGCUAGACACCGUGUCGGUCAAGGUGACAAGGGAGAUGAAUGAGCUCCUGUGCGCCCCCUACACCAAGGAUGAAGUAAAAUCAGCCUUAUUCCAAAUGUUCCUGACAAAAGCUCAUGGUCUAGACGGAUUUCCGGCUCAUUUUUAUCAGCAUCACUGGGAUCUUUGUGGUGAUGAGGUUACAGAGGCAGUGUUGAAAAUUGUAAGGGGAGAGGAAAGCCCAGAAUGCAUCAACGACACAGUCCUAGUGCUAAUUCCAAAGGUAUCCAACCCAUCCCUUCUGUCACAAUUCAGACCCAUAAGCUUAUGUAAUGUUUUAUACAAGAUUGCGUUCAAGGUCAUUGCCAACAGGCUCAAGCAGGUAUUACCGGAUAUUAUUUCUGAAGAGCAGUCGACCUUUGUACCGGGGAGGCUCAUCACAGAUAACAUAAUUAGUGCAUAUGAAUGCCUUCACUUUAUGAAAAGGAACAAAUACAAGGUACAUAGCCACUGUGCUUUGAAGCUUGAUAUGAUGAAGGCAUAUGACAGAUUGGAGUGGGACUACCUGCAAGCAAUGAUGUUGAAACUGGGUUUCGAUUCAGCUUGGGUGAAUAUUGUGAUGAGCAUGGUACACACUGUCUCUUUCUCAGUCCUCUUCAAUGGCGAGAGACUUGAUCAGUUUAGCCCGGGAAGGGGCAUUCGGCAGGGAGAUCCGAUCUCCCCAUACCUUUUCUUAAUUGCAGCAGAGGGCCGCACGUGCCUCCUCAAAAACAGUUCUUCGUCAUCCCAGCUUGAGGGGAUCAAGGUGGCUCCAACGGCUCCUGUCGCCAGUCACCUCCUCUUUGCCGAUGACAGCCUGCUGCUUUUUAAGUCAAGUACUAAUGGGGCUGUUUUGGUGUCAAACCUACUGAAUUACUAUUGUAUGGCUUCAGGUCAGCGCAUUAAUCAUGAGAAGUCCUCAAUCUUUUUCAGCCGUGGCUGCCCUCAGGUGGUAAGAGACAGUAUCAAGAACACUUUAAAUGUCCACAAUGAGUCUUUGAGCGAUCGGUACUUGGGAAUGCCCACCGAUGUUGGACACUCGAAGAAUGGCACGUUCAAAUACCUGAGAGACCGUGUUUGGGAGAAGGUGAAAGGAUGGAUGGAGAAAAUGCUUUCUUAUGCUGGCAAAGAAAUCUUAAUAAAAUCAGUGGCGCAGGCUAUUCCCGUAUAUUCCAUGUCUUGCUUCCGCCUACCUCGGGGCCUUUGUGAGAGUGUGUCAACACUGAUUCGGCAGUUCUGGUGGGGCAGCAAACAAGGGAAGCGGAAGCCCAGUUGGGUGGCCUGGGACGUCAUGACUAGACCGAAGCAUAUGGGGGGACUUGGCUUUCGGGAUUUGGAGAUCUUCAACCUAGCCCUUCUAGCCAGACAAGCAUGGCGAUUGAUACAUCACCCUACGUCUCUAAGUGCACGAAUGAUCAAAGCAAUUUACUAUCUGGACACUUCUCUUUUUGAGGCAACUUUAGGAUCUCACCCCUCGUAGAUUUGGCGAGCGAUUAUGGAUGGACGUGACGUAAUGGUACAAGGCCUGAUCCGUCAAAUUGGCAAUGGUGAAUCAACAGAGAUCUGGAGCUCGAACUGGAUCCCGAGGCCGAAUCUGAAACGGCCUCUAACAUCUCUGCUACAACAUCCUCCUACCAAAGUCUCCGAGUUGAUCAUCCCGGCCACUUCAUCAUGGAACGAACAACUUGUUCGGUCGACUUUCAUCCCGAUAGAUGCAUAGGCAAUCUUGCAAAUACCCUUGUGCACACGUCAGACCAAGGACUUUUGGGCGUGGAGUGAGGAAAGAACUGGACACUUCACUGUCAGGUCGGCGUACAGAAUGAUCCAGCGAGUUAAGUUCAGCCAGGAAGCUUGGUUGUACGAGCAAGGGGGAUCCUCACACAGCGACACAGACAACAAAUUUUGGUCAUAGCUAUGGGGGUGCAAGUUCCUUCAAAACUGAAGAACUUUCUAUGGAGGCUGGCACAGCAUACGAUACCAACGGCAGGACUUUUGAAUCGCCGCAACAUGUCUACUAGCAGCUCAUGCAUCCUAUGUGGAGAGGAGGAUACUUGACGCCAUGCUCUUCUAAACUGCAUUGUAUCAAGGAGUACGUGGGCGCUUUCAUCAGAAGCAAUCUUGGACGGGAUAAGUACAAACAUCAAUGACAACGCCAAAGACUGGUUAUUCUCCAUGCAAGAAGUUCUCCCUCAACCAGAGUUCAUAAAAUUUGUGGUUACACUCUGGGCUAUUUGGGGUGCACGACCUAAGGCAAUUCACGAGCAGAUAUACAAAAGCCCAUUCGCAACACACUCUUUUGUGCAGUCAUAUCUGAGAGAGUUGGAGGCUAUUAAACAGCCAUCAGCAUCAGUUCCCAGGCCUGGUCCACGGCCGACACACUGGAUACCUCCACCGGAGGGAGCAGCUAAAAUUAACGUGGACGCCGCUGUUGGAAGAGGAGGAAGAUAUGGAGCUGUGGGAGCAAUAUGCAGAGACCGCUCAGGUGCUUUGCUGGGAGCUUCGGCAAUGGUGUUCAUGAGAAUCUCAGACCCAGCUACUCUUGAAUGCUUGGCAAUCAGGGAGUCUCUUUCCCUGGCAGAUGAUCUGUACGAACGGAAGAUUCAAGUUGCUUCAGAUUGCAAGGUGGUCGGAAGAUGUCAGAGAAAGAAACACGACUAUUUAUGGAGCACUCAUACAUGAAAUAUUAGAACAUAAGGCUACUUUUCAAGCUUGUAAUUUUAGUCAUGAAUUUAGGAGCUCGAAUGUCGAGGCUCACAAACUCUCGAAGCAUGCUUUAUCACUUUCAGCUGGCCGACAUGUGUGGUUAGGCCAGCCGGAUGGACUUUCCUUCGUCCGUGUAAACGUUGUGACGAGUUAAUAAAAGCUUCCGAGUUUGUCUCAAAAAAAAACCAAGAAAAAGUAUUUCUAUUUUCCAUGUCCAAUAGCAGAUCCUGGAAUUUCUACAAUAAAUUAGAUAGGUAGCUAAUCUAGUUCCCUAUACAUGAGUCUGUUGUCAUUCUACUGGAAUGAUGAAUACCUUGAGCAGGUAGAACUAGAAAGAAUAACAUGUGUUUAGAAUAACAGGAAAACUACAAACAAAAAUAGUGAAAAUUAGCUCGUUGGAGCCUUUUCCGAAAUUAUUGUAGACCCAACGAAUUGGUAGUUCCCAACCGCGGGUGGAGUGAAAUCCAACAAAAAUCAGUAACUAAACAAAUAACCAUCUAUAUCUAUACCUACUAAUAAAAGAAAUAGGUAUUCUUGGUUCGUCGUUGUUUUUGCAGAAAAACCCUUCACCUUUUUAAGAGCCAACCCGCAAUCCAGAUAAAAGCUCGUCCCAGAAUUUCUGCUCCCUACAUGGGCCGGCCAGUCCCUAGCGUGGGACAAGGUGGGCCUGGUUCGCUUCUUUCGAUAAGAAGGAAAAAUAUAUAUAUGAAGAGCACUCGAACUUGAGAGCUUCACUACCAACCACAACAGAACAACCAACUCACCUAUCAUUUGUUCCGUGUGCAAAACCUGGUCGUUACCUAAUUACCAGUUGCCUAGAAAAUGGAAACUACCAAAAAAAGAAUGCACGUGUCAAUUAAAAAAUCCCGCUAAAUGUGGACAUGACGAUGCCAAUAAAAGUAAAAGACCCAAGAUAAGGAAGGACGUGCAGAAAUUGACUCCAAUUAUAUGGAUUAUGGGCUUUAUUGGAAAAUUAAGUGGGAUUUCGAGAAACCCAAUAAAGGGCCACAUGCACGCCGUAUUUCUUUCCAUGAAAUGGAAUUUUCAUGACAUAAUUGGCCGCAUUUCUUUCCAUCAAAUGGAUUUUCAUGACAUAACUGGCCGCAUUUCUUUCCACUAAAUGGAAUUUUCUUCACGUAAUUGGCUCCCUAAUAAAUGUUAUUAUGCUGAAAGUUAGAUAGCCCAACAAUUAAGUCGCUUUAAAUGGGGAGAAGACCUUGCACCCCAUAAGAAAAAAUAAAAUUAAAAGGCAGCACAACAUCUCCACAUGUUUUUUGGAACAAACAAAAUUUUCCUCAAAAAGUACAAACAUACAAUAAAAUAUAAUAUUAUUUAGAUGUAUAUAUGGGAGUACAAGAUGCGUAACAUGCGUUAGAUGAUAGAUAGGGUUAAUUCGGACUAUAUAGAAAUCAGUGUUGGGAUAUCGAAGUUAUGUAAUCGAAUUUUCUACCCGGUAACAAAAUGGAAAAUUGAAAUUUAUUGUGCUAAAUUUUCAUAGUCUAAUUUUUAAAAUAUCUUUAGGACAUAUUAGUACAUGGUUUGUUCGUUAUUUAAUUUUACAUGUUGUGUUUUCUAGACGCAAAGAUAUUUUUUUAUUCCCGUUGCAACGCACGGGCAUAUUUCCUAGUACAAAGUUAAAAGAAUUACCAGUGAUCUUAAAUACAACUCUAGCUACCAUAUUGUUGGACUAAUCUAACAAUUGAUCCAAGCAUGAACUUGAACGCUUGAAAUUUAGGACAGUAUAACCGGACCUAAAGCGAGCCCUCUCAAUGAUUUGCAUUUCCGAUCAUCCGUUUUCACGAUCCAGGUGUUUCUGCUCUGGAGGCCGAAACGCAGGCCUGUGGUAAACUGGGCCGUCGGCCAGCCCAUUACAGUUCGAGUCCAUCGUGAUGGUAGGCCCACAGAGGAGGAGCGGACUAUUGGAUCUCGUCUAUGAUGGAUAUUGAUGUGGAGGCGCCGGACGACUGCACAUCAGCUUCCGAGUAGUAUCUGGGCAGUGCAUUAUAGCUUUCGAGUAGUAGUAGCAGCAGUGCACAGCGAGGUGCCGCCCUCACCCCUGGCGGCAGGUGCCAGUGCAGGGGGUGCCGCCCUGCCCUUGGCGGCAUGUGCCCACGUGGCAGGGUGCCGCCGGGGUCGGUGCCGCCGUUGCCAGGUGGUCUCUUUUGACAAUGAUUUUCAGAGGUGGUCUCUUUUGAUAAUGAAUUCGUUAAGGUGGUCUCUUUUAACAAAAACUCCCACAGACCUUCACAAUCAACAUUAGAGAAAAAUAAUAUUUUGUGUGUAUAUAUACUUUUCUGACCCGGGUUAAAUUGUGCAGAAAAGCUACUCCAAAACAUCAUUUAACCAGAGAACCACUUAAUGGAUACCUCUCCUUCAGAGAUAUAAGCUAUCUGGUAAAUCCUUCAUCACUAUUUUUGUGCUUCGUAUAUUCUUAGACUGCAUAUGGGGUUGUUGAUCAAAAUGUAUUGGCUGCAUAUGGCAAUGGACUAUUCAGAUCCAAACAUGUACAUCUUCAGAUACAUUUUGAAAGCUAAUCCUAUGCCAAAAUUUUGGAAGUUUCCUUUAGUUUGUCAAAAAAUAUCCCAAGCAUACAUACAAGUUGCAGAGUAAGAGUUCGUUGAGCUAACAGUGCUUCUUAUUUCAAACUGUAGUUAGUUACUAUGGUGAGUGUGCUUUGAGUUUGAUCUUUAUUAACAUUGAAGCCAACAUGCAAACCUAUAAGCACUAGAUAAAUGUUUUAUAUAUGACGAGCGUCUGUAUAUAUUUCUGGGAUGAACAAGUGAGUGGUGAAAAUUCUAUAGGAGUUUGGUCAUAAGACAUCCUCAUUCAUAUCAUAUCAUAUCACAUUACGCCGGCAGACUACUUUAGAAAUUGUAGAUAACUAAGGAGAGGCUACAUAUGAUCAUAUUAUUUAAUCUAGGUACCAUCUAAUAUAUAGGCUUGGCAUCUAACACUACAGAAAACGACACAUCCGUGACAUUUUGGGCCGAACGAUUUUUUUGUCAUACUUAUGACACUUCUAUGACGAUAAUUGUGACAAAACCCGGUAUCAUCAUAGAUGUGGUGGGCUCCUACUUCUAUGACAAAAAUCAUGACAGAAAAUGGGCUUUUCGUCCUGGGCGGGCCGGACACGCAGCUGCAUGACAUUUUUUGGGCCGUCCAUGAUGGAAAAAACCGUGGUAGAAGCGAGUGCGAGGAAAAUAUCGGGGUGUUCCCGGUUACGGUGGAUGGUCGGGGCCGAGCGAUGCAUAAAGGUUUGCGUGUUUCUCUCAUACACGCACACGCGUGGGUGCGAGGCCUUGGACUCUAACUGAACCCGAGCGAGGCGUUCGCCUACUGAACCCGAGCGAUUGCACUGCAGGCUAUGCGUUACUGAACCCGAGCGAUCGAUCGAUGGCUGUUAACUGAACCCGAUCGAGCGAUUCCUUCGCUACUGCUGCUAACUGAAGCCGAUCGAUGCUGCCUCUGGAUGAACAGUGGGCGUUGCUGGGGGAAGGGGGUUGGAUGAACAGUUCCUGGUGGGGGUGGAUGAACAGGACCCCGUGGUGUUGCCUCUGGAUGAACAUGACACUGAUCGAUCGAGCCGGUUGGGGCUGGAUGAACAGGACCCCAUGGAGGUCUGGAUGAACAAGACCACCCCAUGGAGGGCCGGAUGAACAGUAGACGGUGGAUGGAUGGAUGAACAGUAGCCCGUGGAGGGGUGGUUGAACAUGAGCCUGUGGAGAGGGCUGGUUGAAUAAUAGCCGGUGGAGUAGCGCGCGGUGGAGGCUGGAUGAACAGGAGCCCGUGGAUGAACAGUCGCAGGUGGAGGCUGGAGGAGAUCGACGGUGGAUGAACAGUAGCCUGUGGAGGCUGGAGGGGGUCGAUGGUGGAGAUGAACAGUAUCCCGUGGAGUCCCGUUUUGCUGUACGCCACACCCCUCCCGAUGAACAGGACCCCCAUUUCGACCGUAGCGCUCCAACACAAGUCCGUUUUCUCUGUUUUGCGGUACACCCCACCCCUCCCGAUCAACAGGACCCCGUUUCGACCAUUGGAGGUCCAACACAAGUCCGUUUCCUCCGUUUUGCGGUACGCCAGACCCCUCCCGAUGAACAGGAUCCCGUUUCGACCGUGGCCAGUCGAACACAAGGCCGUUUCCUCCGUUCUGCGGUACGCCAGGCCUUGUUUCCAUCAGCUGUUCCAUCCAAGCCCUCCUGAUGAACAUGACGACGCAUUCCGUUCCGACCCAGCCGGUUGGCUCCCUAUGAACACGAUGACGACGCUGUUUCUCUGUUCCGACCCAGCCAUGUACAUGAGCCCUGGCCGUACAUAUGCGCGAGUAGGCGUUCGAGACCCUGCCCGUAUGUACGUAUGUGGCCGUAUUUUCUUUCUUGCACACUGGCCGUUGUACAUACGUGUACAUGCUACGUGCGCGCCUCUACUACGACACAUGUGCGUCUCUACAUGGACCAGUAUGUACGUACAAGUUCGCGACCAGAAUGACAACGCUACGCAUGCUUUGACCAGGUGGGUCCCGACUGUCAGGCACUUCCUUGCGUGCGAAGAAGUAGCUGGUGGGUCCCAGCAGUCAGGGGGGCGAAUCAUUUUUUUGGCCCGGACACACUUCCUUGCGCAAGAUGUCACUGGUAGGUCCUAGCAGUCAGGGGGAAACGUUUUUUUCACGAAAUACGGUUGCCCGUAUGGUGGGUCCCUGCUGUCAGGUGGAGGAAUCAUUAUUUUCCGCGUAAUAAGGAGGCACUUCCUUGCUGCGGUUGUGGACCCAGCUGUCAGCCUCUCCAUGUACAAUCCAUGUCCAAUGGAAGCCGUUCCUUGACCAUGUUGACCACGUCGCGCCGAGAGCACCAGGGUGGUGGACGACGGCGAGGCCUAGGAAGGGGACGACGCGGAGCCGGGGAAGACGCGACAGUGGAUGCCGACACGUAGAGGAGUAUGAUGGUUCACUGGUUCGCUGCAGUGUGAGGCUACCGUCGCCGCAGAAUAACAGGGGGUGUGGGUGAGUAGAGGGAUGGCCUGGCCAGUGAUGGGAGUAGUAGGGGGCGGUGAGGCCUCUGCGGCAUCGCAGCCGGCCACGGGAGGCAGGAGCACGAGGCACGACAGGCGCUGGUUUGGACGGUUGGAGCAAGAAGACCAGAGGUUGAAGAAGCACUACAGCCGUUGGAUGGACAUCGUACGGUCACUGGAGCUAGAAUCGUUCAUAUUGACUAAGUUGACAAAGCCCUCCGUCCCCGUCAACUUAGUUGGCCCACAAGUCAGCCUCCCACUAUUGUGGGUCCCAGCUAGCAGGGGGUAUUCAUUUUUGUGUGUGUAAUAAGGAGGCACUUCCUUGCAUGCGAAGAUAUAGCUGGUGGGUCCGACCUGUCAGCGGUGGGAACGUUUUUUUCGUGAAAUACAGAGGCCCUUCCGGUGGGUCCCAGCUGUCAGGUCCAGGAAUCAUUAUUUUGCACGUAAUAAGGAGGCAUUUCCUUGCGUGCGGCCGUGGACCCAGCUGUCAGCCUCUCCACGCACAGUCUACUUCCGAUGGUGUCGUUCGUUGACCAUGUUGACCACUCCGCCCGAGCGCAUCCGAGGUGGUGGACGACGGCGAGGCCCCAGAUAGCAACGCGCCAGAGAUGGGAAGACGUGGGAGUAGAGUCGCGGACGGAGAGGUGUACGAGGGUUAACUGGUUCUAGUGCGGUGUGGUUCGGAAGUCGGUGGAUAAGAAUAGGAGGUGUGAAGGGGUGGAGGGAUGGCCUGGCCAACGGUGGUGUAGUGCUUCACAGCGAAGCGUGCUAAGAAGAGCUGCUAGCAGCAGGUGGCGGGAGCAGGUGGUCCCGGCGACGCUGGAGGAAGAAGACGAGAGAUUCAAGAUGGAUGACGGUCGUUGGAUAUAAAUCCAACGGCUAACGAUGUCAGAAUCAUUUGUUGACUAAGUUGACAACGACUUGCAUUGGCUUCGACCUAGGUCCAUAUUUCAGCCUCCAAAAAUGUGGCAUGUAUUCAACCUAUUUUUUUCAAAAUUUACAGUCUUUUUUUGCGGGGUAGAAUUUUACAGUCAAUUUGAUCUUUUUUUUGAAUUACAGUUCAUUAGCUGGGCUGGGUGAACAAAUAAUAUAGCAUUUAUGCAGUGUUUUUCCUAAAAAUUUAUAGGCCAUUUGCACUUUCUCGAAAUACAUAGCUGGGCUGAUUCUAAUUAUAAUGUUGGGUGGGUGCAGCAAUGUUAUCAAAAAAUAAACAGGGGCUGAGCAUUUUUUUAUAUAUAUAUUAAAAUAAUAAGUGAUUUAUUAGUACAUUGGUCCUUAAAUCUUACCAAGCUUUUGUACACAAUCACCAGGAUUUUCGUUGCCAAAAAAAUCCAGUAUUUUAUUGUUAAGAAAUUAUUUUUAUGAGUUAAUAAGAUGUGGGAUAUUAUUUUCUUACAUAUGUAAGUAUCUGUUAAAUAUAUGAUGACAAUAACAAUAAUAUAUAAUAACAUAUAAAAUAAUUUAAAUAUAUAUAUAUAAUAUAGUUAGAAGGGAAACAUAAGUUGGAGCAGACAUUCUUAUUCUUAUAUAGAAAAAUAGAACAGACCUCCGCGUUUUUUUCAAAAAAAAAAACAUAAAUUGGGUUGCCGAUGUUUCAAGAAAAAUAAAAUCUCGGAUGGGAGGUCCAUAGGCCUAUGGACCUCCCAUCCGAGGUCGUGGGCUGCGCAUGUUAAAAAAGAAAGCCUAGACGAGGCAGUCCAAAACCCAGCUGAUACUUGCUGCCCUAGUGAUAAUAAAUGAUACCUGCCAGCUCCCCGGCUUCGUUGUGAAUUUAUCUCCGAUAGUAACUACGUAGAAGCACCUAAAAAAUGUAACUAUGUUGACAAACCCGUGGGCCCCAACAUCAGUAUGGCAUUAGGAGGAAGUAUUUUUUCGAUGAGGCACUUGUUUGCGUACGACCAUAGACCUGGUGGGCCCAGACUAUCCGCCUCUUCACAUACAGUCCUCUCCAGAUUCCUCUCGUUUGUUUAGCAUGUUCACAAUGGCAGACAACAGCGUCGCGGCGAGCGCACAAAGGCGCAGGAGGAGAUCCGACCACCUGAGGAAGUGCCUUAUUAGUAACGAAACAACUGAACUAGCCUAGUGGCCGAGUGACACUACCCGACAGCUGUUCCGCCCGGGUUCGAUUCCACAUGUGCAGAGAAAAUAUCUCCAAAUUUUUUGCCUCUUCCUUUAUUGACAUGCGGGUCCCAAUUGUCAUCUACGCACACCACGUCCAACAUCUGCCAGAACUUCGUCCCUCGUUUUCUCUGUUUUUUGCACACUCGACAUUGUGUGGGCAUUUUUAAAAUAGCAUAUCUUUUUGACUGUGCAUGAUAUGAAGAUGUGCUAUGCAUGAAUGUUGAUUAGCAUGAUGUUAACUGGCUGGUAGUUCCAGUUUCGACCAUGAAUAAAAAUUCCAACAUGAUGUUAACAUGGUUUGAAAAAGCCGUGUUAAUAUAAAUGUUCUGCCUCUGAAAGUUGCAGUUUCUUAUCUAAAACUGAACUUGGAGUUUCUUAUCUGAAACUGAAACUUGCAGUUUCUUCUGUGAGAAUCACAUUGUCUGCACUUUUUUACUCCUAUGAAACUACAUUUUUAAGUGCUGAAAUAGAUCUCUAGAAUUCAUAAAAUACUUCAUAUGCUCAAUACUGCAAAUCUGAAAUUCAAAAUACAUUCAUAUAUGAAAGUACUCUCAAAAUACACAACACAAAACACAAUUCACAACCUACAAAUACUAACAACCCUAAGCUCCUCUUGACAAUUCACAACCUGCUCGACUAUUGGGCAGGGUGGGUAGUCCCUCCUAUUCCUCGGCGGCAGAUAGCCGCCCGUGAGACGAUGUGAACGGCGAGGGAGAGGAUGGUGGGGAAGCGUCGUCGGGCCAACUAUUUUUCUCCUCUUGCAGUUGGGUUCAGUCGACGGAGACUCCACCGGCUCGCUCUGGCACGACACCCUCACAAACGGCACCCUGUAGAUACUCGAUCCUUCAAUCUCUGGUCGAUGCUCCAUCUGGGAUCGAUACUCCCACCACCGCUCCCUCACGAUCAGAUUCGGUGAAUCUGUUUGCUCCAUGGUCCAGAGGAGUAGCUCUAUGUACUCCCGCGCGACUCCCUCCGGGAGUAUCGUCGCCUUUUCGCUCUGUUGCAGAUAUUUGGCCAUGGAUGUCGCCGUCGCCGCUAGUUGGUCCUUGUUGUCAAACCAAGACUGUAUCUCCAACAUCCUAGCUAGCUUCACAGGGUCGCCGUCUGCGAUCCUCACGUAUCGGUUGUACUCCUCCAUCGAUCUACUUGUCCACAACACCUUCACUCGCCGGCGGUGGUUUUUGAAUGGAAGAGGAGAGGAGCAGCGCUGGUUUUGGAUUAGAACGGGAGAGGAGUGACGCUGGUUUUGUAUUGGAACAGGAGAGAAGGGGCGGUGGUUUUGAAAUGAAAGAGGAGAGGAGCGGCGCUGGAUUUAGAUUGGAACAUGAGAGGAGCGGCAGUGGUUUAAGAGGAGAAGAGCGGAAGAGCGGCGCUGGUCUUGGAAGUAUUUUUUUGUUUUGCAUAUUUUGGGUCAAAGUUUGACCACGUAUUGUAUUUCACAAGCAAAAUGUGAAUGCAUGUCACCAAAUAUUGUAUCGUUUGGUUCGUAUCUGAAUGUACUUUGAAAUUAUAUUAUUUUUGCAAUGUAUAGUAUAUAUUUUAUUUGCGAAGAUCAUGGUCAAUUAUGACCCAGAAUAAAAGGAAGACUAGUUAUUGUGGGGUCGAUUUCUUAAUUGAAGGAUAAAUUGAUUUUGAUUUUGAUCCAGUCACAGCGCGCUGGCCCUCUCGUCCAAUCCUAAAUCGCUGCCGCACGCUCCUCUCCCUCUUCUCCAUUGCAAAACCACCUCCUCUCAUCUCCAUCAUCUCCAUUCAAAAACCACCGUCUCGCCUCUCCCUCUUCUCCAUUGCAAAACCACCUCCUCUCCUCUCCAUCAUCUCCAUUCCAAAACCACCGUGUCGCCUCUCCCUCUUCUCCAUUGCAAAACCACCUCCUCCCCUCUCCAUCAUUUCCAUUCCAAAACCACCGUCUCGCCUCUCCCUCUUCUCUAUUGCAAGACCACCGUCUCUCCUCCCAUCUUCCAAAAGCUAGCACCAGACCACUCAGAAGGACAUUUAUGGAGAGGAUGCAACAGAGAAUUAGGCAGAUCACCGGUGGCGACCAGGCAAAGUUAGCUAGGUUGAAGGAGAUCCUUACUUGGUUUGACAAUGAGUGGGAGAUUUCGAGGAAGGUGAGGGCCAUGUGGCAAUGUAUGCGAAAGAGCGAGACGGCAGCGAUGAGAGCGGCUAUGUACAUGUACUCCUCGGCGGCAGUCACGCCGCAGUCCUUCGAGUUCAUCGAGUAUCUCCUCUAGGCGAUGGAGCAGACAGAUUCGCCCGAGGCGAAAGUCAGGCGGAGGUGGUGGGCGUACAGGUCGAAGGUCGAGCACCCAGAGGAUAACGAAUCGAUCGAGUACGGUGUGCCGUUCGUGAGGGUGCAGAGCCAGCCGGAGCCACAGGAGUAUUCGUUCUCCCACUGCAAGAGGAGGCCGGAUGGCGCGACGUCGCUUCCCCGCCGUUCUCCACGGUUCCCUUGACGCUCGCCUCGUUUCAACGGCGAUGGUAGGGUUUAAGUUAAGCUUUGCACUAACCUAAUCUUCCACCCGCUCAUGCUUACAAUCAGUGUGACAACUAAUGAAAAUCAUGUUUACAAUCAGUCUCCGAGUACUACGCCAAUCACCCUUAAAUAGCUCUGGACCUUUGGGUCAAAGUUGUGACACUGUGUACAAAUAAAGAAAAAUAGAUUGGUGCUUCUUUCAGAAAAGAGUACUCCCGAGAAAACUGCCAAUAUAAGCUACUAGUAUUGGUUAGAGGAUUUGCUGCCGAGAAAGUUCCGUCAACAGAGAGCGCCACACAUCCCACUGGUGGUGGUGGAUGCCAAUGCGUGCAUGUAGCAUGGUUGGUGUCAAUAAUUUUUACUUGGCACACCUCGCACUAUGCAUAUAUGCCGGUUCCAUCCGUACAUGUGUGCAGUUCCACCAAAAUGCAGCUGAAUAACCCUGUUUGCACAGAUAAUGAAAAAACUUGAUUACAUUAUAGUGGCACUAGUUGAUGAAACACGCAAAAUAAAUAGAAGAAAAUAUUGCGAUAGUAUCAUAGUAUGCCAUGCUGCAAGGGAGAGAUGGGCCCUGCGACGCCUCAUACGGUACGCCACGCCUCAUACUAGAAAUCGUCCCAAGUCUCCCCGAUACACCUUCUGCCAGUGAUGAUCAUCAGUGUACAUCGGUAGUACAAGGAGGGGCCUUGAGACAUUCAAAUCUCUAUUUUUGUGCAGAUCAACUAAAAUUAAGCACCCCAGUUUGCAGAAACGCUUAAACAUUAACAAUGGGACUAGUUGAUGAAACAUACAUUAACAAAGAGAAGCACUUUCUUUAUCUACAUUGGAAAUGAAAUGAUAGAGAGGACACUCGCUCUAUUUUAACUAUAUUGUUACUUUCAUUUUAUCAAUGACACUAGGGUCGAGCAGGUGGCAAACGAGGUGUACCUUGCGUCGCAAGGAUGAAGGCCGGGGGUGCUUAGACUGGGAUGCUGAAGCUGGCUCUUUCAGUCCCUAUCUUCCCCUUGAUGUUUUUGUGGUAGCAUUUGGGUUGUAAUCCAAACUUGGUCGAGCUGGUGCUGCGUCCCCUACCUACCUAGCUUAUGUGGCGAACUUGUCUCCUGCUAGUACUCGGUCCGUUCUAGUAGUAGUUGCAUAACUGCCCGUUUACACUGAGAUGUUGUCGGAUAAUGGUUCUCUAUGGUUGGGUUUCUUUAAUGAAAUCGGAGGGAACCCCCUCUUUCGAUAUAUAAAAAAACAGUGACACUAGCGGUGCCAAAACCUUGCCUCAAAUUAAUAUUGCCACUAGAUUAAGGUGCAAAAUAAUAACAUUACUGCUUUAUCAUGGCAGUGCCAAAAUAGUAGCACAAGAGCAGGAUCAACAUGCAGGAUAUUUGGCAAAUGGUCAGACCAAAAAGGAACAUACCUCGUGAUGGGAACCAUAUCUGCAGUCAACGCCAUCGUAGAAGGGAUGACACCAGUCACCAACAUGGAUGAUUCAAUUCAUGGGACCUUUUGGUGCAGUUCACCUAAAAUGAAGCAAUGUCCCAUGAGCUAGCAGCUUCUUCUUCUUUUUUUUUAAGAAAAGGGCUCCAGCCCCGACUCCAUUUCCAUCAGAAAACGAAACCCACAGAGCUUCUUCUUCAUUAGAUGCAAUAAAAUUGAGCAACAUCAAGGUUGGUCGUGAAGCUCCUGGAAUGUUCAACUAUAAUUUGGAUAUCAUUUGUGCAGUUCAACUAAGAUCAAGCGUGAAAUGUAUAUCUCUGUUUGCACAAAAAAGGUGGAAAGGAGGGUGACUAACAAGUGAUGAAACAUGCAUCAAAUGAAAAAAAACAUGGUCCUUAUCUGAAUGGGAAUCGUACAAGGACAGUAGCAAUUUCUAGUAGCAUUGCUAGAUAUUAGUGUGGGCAUCAGGAUUGACUAUGACAACCGUUAAAUACGACAUUAGUUUAAUGGUGCCAUUGCUUCAUUUUACCAGCAACAUUACAUUAACAGCUGCUACAGAGUCGGUAUUUGGGCACGGGAGAGUAGGCGGACCAGGACAAUUGCAUCUCUAAUGAAAAGAAGCAACUUAUCUUAAUGGGAAAUUUCGCAGGACAUGAAAAAAAGUGCCAUUGAUUCAUAUUACUAGAGGCAUUACAUUGGAAACAACAUUGGUUUAACGUGUCCUUACUUUUAAUAGUGUGACUACUACAUUUUACCAGUGGCAUUACAUAAGAGCGGGUCAGGGCAACAAACAUCAGACGAGGAUAUCUGGGUUGGUCCCAUUUUUUUCAGUAUAUAGCCACCUUAUACUGUGUGAGGCUAGCAAAUCUAGUGCUGGACUUACUCUGUUGACUUGUCCCCCAGUCCCCACUUUCUUUUCUUUUUCAACCAAUAGAUCGGGUUUAUAUUGAGUUUGUACUGCGUUCCCUUUAUUUCCAUAUUAGACCUAGAGACCAGUUGGAUAGCCAGUCUCUGCUACUUUUCGCCCCCAUUAUUUCCUCUUUCGACCAAGUCCUAGAUUCAGGUAACAAAUCUUCCCCACCCCCACCCCCUUUCUUCCUUGUUUGAACCAAGUACCACUAGAUUCGAGUGCAUGAACUAGUUUUACCUCUUAACAGUAAAAAAUUAGGUGGUUUUCGAACAGCCGAUCGAUCCUAUCUAGGAGGGCCCCUAAGAAAUAGUAAAAGAUACAAAUGCAGCGACAUCAGGAUCUCGGGAAGUAGAGCAAGGACAGUUUCGAAGGAAGUUAUACCUGAGGUUCACCGGGAUGUCGCUAGGUGGGCGGCCGGAGGCCGGAUCUGCCCACACUACGACAACGAGGAAGAAGGGGUGGGAGGCCCUCCCUCACCAGUGAUGCUUGGGAGAGAACGACAAGGCACGCUGAUUGAUAACCCACAAGUAUAGGGGACCGCAACAGUUUUCGAGGGUAGAGUAUGCAACCCAAAUUUAUUGACUCGGCACAAGGGGAGCCAAAGAAUAUUCUCAAGUAUUAGCAGCUGAGUUGUCAAUUCAACCACACCUAGAAACUUAAUAUCUGCAGCAAAGUGUUUAGUAGGAAGGUAAUAUGAUAGUAGUGGUAACGGUAGCAAAAGUAAUAUUUUUGGGUUUUGUAGUGAUUGUAACAAUAGCAACGGAAAAGUAAAUAAGCGAAGAACAAUAUAGAAAAAGCUCGUAGGCAUUGGAUCGGUGAUGGAGAAUUAUGCCGGAUGCGAUCGAUCAUGUAACAGUCAUAACCUAGGGUGACACAGAACUAGCUCCAGUUCAUCAAUGUAAUGUAGGCAUGUAUUCCGAAUAUAGUCAUACGUGCUUAUGGAAAAGAACUUGCAUGAUAUCUUUUGUCCUACCCUCCAGUGGCAGCGGGGUCCUAUUGGAAACUAAGGGAUAUUUAGGCCUCCUUUUAAUAGAGUACCAGACCAAAGCAUUAACAUAUAGUGAAUACAUGAACUCCUCAAACUACGAUCAUCACCGGUAAGUAUCCCAAUUAUUGUCACUUCGGGGUUAACGGAUCAUAACACAUAAAUAGGUGACUAUAGACUUGCAAGAUAGGAUCAAGAACUCUCAUAUAUUGAUGAAAACAUAAUAGGUUCAGAUCUGGAAUCAUGGCCCUCGGGCCCUAGUGACAAGCAUUAAGCGUAGCAAAGUCAUAGCAACAUCAAUCUCAGAACAUAGUGGAUACUAGGGAUCAAACCCUAACAAAACUAACUCGAUUACAUGAUAAAUCUCAUCCAACCCAUCACCGUCCAGCAAGCCUACGAUGGAAUUACUCACGCACGGCGGUGAGCAUCAUGAAAUUGGUGAUGGAUGAAGGUUGAUGAUGACGAUGGCGAUAGAUUCCUCUCUCUGGAGCCCCGAACGGACUCCAGAUCAGCUCUCUCGAGAGAGUUUAGGGCUUGGCGUCGGCUCCGUAUCAUAAAACGCGAUGAAUCCUUCUCUUUGAUUUUUUUCUCCCUGAAAGUGAAUUUAUGGAGUCAAGGUUGAGGUUGGUGGAGCAUUAGGGGGCCCAUGUGGCAGGGGGCGCGCCCAGGGGUUAGGGUGCGCCCGCACCCUCGUGGACAGGUUGUGGGCCCCCUGACGCGGAUCUUUCUUCCAGUAUUUUUUAUAUAUUCCAAAAUAAUUAUCCAGUGAUUUUCAGGUCAUUCCGAGAACUUUUUUUUCUGCACAAAAAUAACACCAUGGCAAUUCUACUGAAAACAACGUCAGUCCGGGUUAGUUCCAUUUAAAUCAUGCAAGUUAGUGUCCAAAACAAGGGCAAAAGUGUUUGGAAAAGUAGAUACGACGGAGACGUAUCAACUCCCCCAAGCUUAAACCUUUUCUUGUCCUCAAGCAAUUCAAUUGAUAAACUGAAAGUGAUAAAGAAAAACUUUUACAAACUCUGUUUGCUCUUGUUGUUGUAAAUAUGUAAAGCGAACAUUCAAGUUUUCAGCAAAGAUUAUGAACUGACCAUAUUCACAAUAACACUUAGGUCUCAUGUUUACUCAUAUCAAUGGCAUAAUCAACUAGCGAGCAAUAAUAAUAAAUCUCGGAUGACAACACUUUCUCAAAUCAAUCAUGAUAUGAUAUAACAUGAUGGUUUCUCGCUAGCCCUUUCUGAGACCGCAAAACAUAAAUGCAGAGCACCUUUAAAGAUCAAGGACUGACUAGACAUUGUAAUUCAUGGUAAAGGAGAUCCAGUCAAGUCAUACUCAAUGUAAACUAACAGUAAUGGAUGCAAAUGACAGAGGUGUUCUCCAACUGGUGCUUUUUAAUAAGAGGAUGAUGACUCAACAUAAAAGUAAAUAGAUAGGCCCUUCGCAGAGGGAAGUAGGGAUUUGUAGAGGUGCUUGAUGAAGCUAUGUACCUAGGGUAGGGUCAUGGACCUGUCCUAACUGCCCUACUCAAGGACAUCUCUAGAAGAAAUCACCUUUCAAUCGACUUGGAGGUGUCCCACUCGACAGACUCGAAGACACUCGACCAAGAAUCAAACACUCGACCAAGAUCCAACCACUUGACGGCCAGGAGACCUAAAGUCACUCUGCGCGCUAACGGUCAGUCAUUAAGUAGCUUUUAUGGUCAUCAUAGCACUUUAUUAGGGGCGUUACCAGUAACGCCCGACCUUAAUGUAUUUGAAACUCUGCAUAACUGAGGGCCGGAGGGGUCUGGCGAACUCUAUAUAAGCCACCCCCUCCUCAGUGUAAAGGGUUCGCACCCCUGUAAUUCAUACACACAUAAUCCAGUCGACCGCCUCCGGGCUCCGAGACGUAGGGCUAUUACUUCAUCCAAGAAGGGCCUGAACUCGUAAACCUCGUGUGCUUACAACUACUCCAUAGCUAAGAUCUUCCCUCUCCAUACCUACCCCCCUACAUUACUGUCAGACUUAGAACCAUGACAGUUGGCGCCCACCUUGGGGCGGGUGUUUUAGUGAUUUGUUGGAGGAGUUGUGAUCUUUUCCGAUCCAAAUCAUCAUGGUUUCCGACGGAGUUUUGGUGGAGGGCCGCGAGAUCCGUCUCGGCGCGCUCACGUUCAUCGCCGAUGACUCCGCUUGGCUUCAGGAGGCUCCGCUCGACGUGUACGCACUCCGUGUCCGUGGGGCAACGCACUUUCGCGCGUGCGUCCGCGACGUCCUCUUGCGGCAACCGUCGACCCAUUAUCGGUCGGUCCCUAUGUUGUCCUCCCUCCCUGUUUCCCACCGACGCAAGCGCUCCGGUCGGUCGAGACUUCAGCGGUGGGUGAGACACGCGGUGGCACACCAGUCGGCCACCCCUCAAGUCGCGGCAAUCGAGCCCGACGAAUCCCUCUACGGCCUGUUCGACUGGCUCCGUAGAGACCGCAUCCGAGUGCGACAGCAGCGAUCCGGCGGCGGAGGUUCUGAUGGUCGAUGGACCGCCCAGUCCUCCCGGUUUUCCCCGCACCGGCGGAGGUGCAGGUGGAGGCGACCCGUCGCGUCCCCAUGAGGAAUAUCUCCCCGAGCCUCUCAUGUCGCUUUAGAGAGAAGAACUUCGUCGCCGGAACAUGGAUGCACUGCACACUCCUAUCGUUGGAGAAACCCCCGAGGCUCGUGCCUUGGAGGACGCGCGCCUGGCAAACUUGGCUGAGCGCACUCGACUGGAGAACCUCCAGCGAGCACUCGACGAGCGUGCGUGACAACGGGUUCCAGAAUCCAGUCGACGUCAGCUCUUUCUGCCCUUGCAGGUAUAUCGAACUCCGAUUCAGAAUUUAGCAGUUGCAGCCCGUAUAGCAAAGUCGAUUCAGCCUUCCCAGUCAGAGGCUGGCAGAGGCUUGCUGCAGAUCAGAGCAUUACUCCAGGCAGCAGGAGACCAGAAUUCCGCUGUUUCUCAGUCGCGGAACAGGAUUCAUAGCAGAUCCAUUGCUGCAGACACAGUCCAGUCGGCUCAUAGCCCAAGAUCGCCCCCGAGGCGUGAGGGACAUGGGGACCGGCGUGAUCAGUAUGGGAACCGUGAGAAGUAUGAUCACCGAUUCGAUCGUGACGAUCAACGUCGAGUGCCCACCCCUCCCCCGAGGAAUGGAUCGUAUGUGCCUCGACAGCAGGAUGACAGGUCCCCUUGUAGUGUUGGGCGAAGGAUUCCAGUUGAUCCCAGGGAACCAGGCUUUGAUGCGAGAUCCAUUCUCGUUCAAGGUUUGGUCGACAGGAACAGAGCUCACCGAGAAGGUCACGACAGAGAUGCACCUACCAACAGCAGAGUACAUGUUUCGGGGCCAGAGUGCUUUAGUAGAGCCAUUAGGGCCGCUGUGAUUCCUCCCAACUUCAGGUUGGUGACUGGAGUCAGUAAGUUCACUGAUGUGUCCAAGCCCGAUACUUGGCUUGAAGACUACCGAGUGGCUGUCCAGAUUGACGGUGGCGAUGAUGAAGUGGCCAUGAAGCACCUACCUCUCAUGUUGGAGGGCUCGGCCAGAGCGUGGCUGAAUCAGUUCGCACCCAGCAGCAUUUACACUUGGGAAGAUCUCGCCCGAGUGUUUGUCACCACAUUUGAAGGAACAUGCAAGCGACCGGCAGGGCUGACGGAACUUCGGUCUUGCGUGCAGAAGCCGAAUGAAACUUUGAGGGAUUACAUCCAGAGAUGGAUCACGUUACAUCACACGGUAGAGAAUGUGCCUGUCCACCAAGCAGUCUAUGCCUUCAAAGAAGGUGUCAAGUACAGAGAACUGAAUCUGAAAUUCGGUCGAACCGGAGACAUGUCUCUGAAUAGGAUGAUGGAGAUUGCCACCAAGUACGCUAAUGGUGAAGAUGAGGAUCGACUCCAGAGUGGCAAGCACAAGUCAAUCGCCCAAGAAACCGGAAGAGGAAAUUCCAAUCGGAAAUAGAAGAGAAAAGCCGAGCCAGCUGCUCCUGGGGAAGCCUUGGCUGUAACUCAAGGAAAGUUUAAGGGGAUGCCCAAAGGGCCUUGGAACCCCAAGAAAGUUGAAGACCAAGACGGAAAUGAUGUGUUGGAUUUGCCAUGUCACAUCCACACCAAGAAAGAUGAAGAUGGUAAGUUCAUUUACCCGAAACAUACACUCGACAGUGUCGGCUCUUGAUCCAGCAGUUCCAGGGCAAACAACCCAAAGAUAAGGAAAAGGAGUCGGACAAAGUUGAGGACAAGGAAGACAGUGAUGAUGGAUACCCCUAGGUCAAUUCCACCCUGAUGAUUUUUGCUAAUGUUGAAAGCAAAAGUCGACUGAAAGUUAUCAACCAUGAGGUGAAUAUGGUUGCUCCAGCGACACCCAGCUAUCUGAAGUGGUCUCAGACUGCCAUCACAUUCGACUAGUCCGAUCACCCAACGCACAUUGCCACCCCUGGGAGGCAAGCUUUGGUGGUCGAACUAGUUGUUGAAGGCACUCGACUGACUAAAGUCUUGAUGGAUGGUGGCAGUGGUUUGAACAUAUUGUAUGCUGAGACGUUGAAAGGGAUGGGCAUUCUGAUGUCCAGACUAAGUACCAGCAACAUGAGUUUCCAUGGAGUCAUUCCUGGGAAGAAGGCUGAGUCACUCGGCCAGAUUGCUCUUGAUGUGGUUUUCGGUGAUUCCAAGAAUUACCGCAAAGAAAAGUUGACGUUCGAAGUUGUGGAUUUCCAGAGUGCUUACCACGCUAUUUUGGGCAGGCCAGCUUAUGCACGCUUCAUGGCUCGACCAUGUUAUGUGUAUCUCAAAUUGAAGAUGCCUGGUCCCAAAGGUGUGAUCACUGUUACGGGCAAUCGGAAGAAAGCAUAAGAGUGUUUUCAGAAAGGCUCAAAGAUCGCUGAUGCUCAGAUGGCAGUGGUGGAGUUGUAGGAGUACCAGAAGACUGCAGACCCGAGUGAUUUGUUGCGAGCCAAGAAGCCCACUACAGAAUCAGCUUUUCAGUUGUCUGGUGAAAUGAAGCCGGUUCACAUUCACCCGACCGAUCCCAGUGCUGCUCCGACUCAUAUAUCAACAACACUCGACUCCAAAUAGGAAGAAAUGCUCAUCCAGUUCCUCCAUGAGAACUGGGACAUCUUCGCAUGGAAGCCUUCUGACAUGCCGGGUGUUCCCAGGGGGCUGACUAAGCACCGCCUACGAGUCGGCUCAAAAGUGAAACCUGUCAAAGAACAUCCCCGACGGUCCGCCUUCCAGAAGAGAAAGGCUAUUGGUGAGGAGGUGGCUCGGCUCUUAGCAGCGGAGUUCAUCCGAGAGAUUUACCACUUCGAGUGGCUCGCCAACGUUGUCAUGGUCCCCAAGAAGGACAAGUCACUUCGCAUGUGCAUUGACUUUAAACAUAUCAAUCGGGCCUGCCUGAAAGAUCAUUUUCCUCUCCCCCGCAUCGACCAGAUAGUCGACUCGACUGCGGGAUGUGAGCGACUGUCUUUUUUAGACGCCUAUUCCGGGUACCAUCAGAUCCGUCUGUAUGGACCUGACGAGAUCAAAACAGCUUUCAUCACUCCAUUCGGGUGCUUCUGUUAUGUUACCAUGCCAUUCGGCCUCAAGAAUGCCGGAGCCACAUUCAUGAGGAUGAUUCAGAAGUGUUUGCUCACUCAAAUCAGUCGGAAUGUGGAAGCAUACAUGGAUGAUAUUGUGGUCAAGUCACGGAAGGGUUCCGACCUGCUGACUGACCUUGCUGAAACCUUUGCCAACCUCAGGAGGUAUGAUAUCAAGCUUAAUCCAUCAAAGUGCACAUUUGGAGUUCCUGGCGGAAAGUUACUCGGUUUCUCGUUUCCGAACGGGGAAUCGACGCCAAUCCAGAAAAGUCGGUACUAUACUCCGAAUGAAAAGUCCUGUGCGAGUGCACGACGUCCAGAAGCUUACUGGUUGCUUGGCCGCUUUAAGUCGAUUCAUCUCCCGUCUCGGUGAAAAGGCAUUGCCUCUUUACCGAUUGAUGAAGAAGUCAGACAAGUUCGAGUGGUCUCCUGAAGCUGAUGCAGCGUUUGCAGAGCUCAAAGCUCUGCUCUCCACCCAGCCGGUGCUUGCUGCCCCAAUCAGCAAAGAGCCUUUGCUGCUUUACAUUGCAGCCACGGGAAAAGUCGUCAGUACGGUACUUACAGUCGAGCGGGAAGAAGGAAAAGCCUUCAAAGUUCAGUGCCCAGUAUAUUAUAUUUCUGAAGUUUUGACCCCGUCGAAACAAAGAUAUCCUCAUUAUCAGAAGCUUGUAUAUGGGAUUUAUAUGACCACAAAGAAGGUUGCUCACUACUUCUUUGAUCAUUCCAUUAUAGUCGUCAGCAAUGCUCCAUUGUCAGAGAUCCUGCACAAUAGAGAUGCAACUGGUUGAGUGGCAAAAUGGGUGAUUGAACUCCUUCCUCUAGAUAUCAAGUUUGAGUCAAAGAAAGCUAUCAAGUCCCAAGCAAUAGCAGAUUUCGUCGCCGAGUGGAUUGAACAGCAACUGCCGACUCAGGUUCACUCGGAGCAUUGGACCAUGUUCUUCGACGGUUCCAAAAUGCUGAAUGGUUCCGGUGCCGGGGUAGUAUUGGUCUCCCCCCGAGGAGAUAAGCUCAGAUAUGUUCUUCAAAUCCACUUUGAUUCCUCCAAUAACGAGGCAGAAUAUGAAGCACUUUUAUAUGGGUUGCGCAUGGCCAUUUCACUCGGCGUCCGUCAUCUCAUUGUCUAUGGCGACUCAGAUUUGGUGGUUAAUCAGGUGAUGAAGGAGUGGGACGUCAGAAGUCCAGCCAUGACUGGUUAUUACAAUGCAGUGAGAAAGCUGGAGAAGAAAUUCGAGGGGUUAGAACUUCAUCACAUACCCCGACUGAAAAAUCAAGCAGCUGAUGAUUUGGCGAAAAUAGGUUCCAAAAGAGAAGCCAUUCCCAGCAAUGUGUUUUUGGAACACAUCCACACACCAUCAGUUCAGGAGGAUCCCUUCACUGAAGAAGCCCCACAGCCAAAAAGUGCCACGGAUCCGAUUGAAGUUGAAGUUCCAGCUGUGGUCGACCUAAUCAUAGAAGUUUUGGUCAUCACUCCCGACUGGACGGUACCGUACAUCGCGUACAUCCUAAGGAAAGAACUCCCAGAGGAUGAAGAAGAGGCUCGACAGAUCAUCCGUCGAUCCAAGGCCUUUACAGUCAUAAAGGGACAGUUGUAUAGAGAAAGUGCGACUGGAGUCAGUCAGAAGUGUAUAACACCAGAAGAAGUUCAGAUAAUCCUUGAUGAUAUCCACUCGGGGACCUGUGGUCAUCAUGCGUCCUCUCGGACCAUUGUGGCUAAAGCAUACCGAGCGGGAUUCUACUGGCCAAGAGCGAAUGAAAUGGUGAAAGAGAUAGUCGAUAGAUGUGAAGGAUGUCAGUUUUACUCCAAUAUGUCGCACAAGCCCGCGUCAGCCCUGAAAACCAUUCCACUCGUCUAGCCCUUCGCUGUUUGGGGACUGGACAUGGUUGGACCACUGAGAACGGGCAGGAGCGGCUUCACUCAUGUGCUAGUAGCAGUCGACAAGUUCACCAAAUGGAUUGAAGCUAAGCCUAUCAAGAAUCUUGAUGCUUGCACUGCUAUCAGUUUCAUCAGAGAGUUGAUAUUCAGAUAUGGAGUUCUGCACAACAUCAUCACUGACAAUGGGUCAAACUUCGAUUCCAACAAAUUCAGAGCCUUUUGCGCCUCUCAGGGCACACGAGUCGACUACGCUUCGGUCGCUCACCCCCAGUCGAAUGGACAAGCGGAAAGAGCAAAUGGCUUAAUUCUCAAAGGACUAAAACCCCGACUGAUGCGUGAUCUCAAGCACGCAGCAGGUGCGUGGGUCGAUGAGCUUCCAUCAGUUCUUAGGGGAUUGAGGACAACCCCGAACCGAUCGACCGGAAGAACCCCAUUCUUUCUGGUCUACGGAGCCGAAGCAGUUUUGCCGAGUGACCUGCUUCACAACGCACCCGAGUCGAGCUCUACUCUGAAGAUGAAGCAGAACAAGCCCGGCAGGACGCAGUCGACCUCCUGGAAGAAGAAAGAGAAAUGGCCAUGAUCCGAUCGACCAUCUAUCAGCAAGACUUGCGUCGAUUCCAUGCCAGAAAUGUGAAGAGUCGAGCCUUCCAAGAAGGAGACUUGGUCCUCCGAGUGGCCUAGUCGGAGCAGAUUCAUGGCAGUUUCAUCUUUCAUGGGAGAGUUGAUGGGGUCCAAACCUGGCUCAAUCCGCCCAGUCUCCUCCUCGAAGUUCUGGCAAAACUCUGCAUUCAGGAUCCAAGGAUAAGUCAUUUUUCGUAUGCUGAGUUGACAAAAAAAACA
This 78660-nucleotide long non-coding RNA is filed under the name Triticum aestivum (bread wheat). RNAcentral describes it as "long non-coding RNA (TAES_LNC005084)". The stretch from base 8465 to 8599 matches the Rfam family "MIR1120/MIR1122 microRNA precursor family". Lineage: Eukaryota; Viridiplantae; Streptophyta; Magnoliopsida; Poales; Poaceae. The record is from RNAcentral.